RNAcentral lists this long non-coding RNA (52646 nucleotides) under Ananas comosus (pineapple). Its description in RNAcentral is "long non-coding RNA (ACOM_LNC031019)". The record is from RNAcentral. Lineage: Eukaryota; Viridiplantae; Streptophyta; Magnoliopsida; Poales; Bromeliaceae.
UUUUUAUUUUGUUUCCUAGGGAGCUGUUUGGAAACCAGGAUUCGAAUGGAUAGGAUAAAAUAUGAUAGAGAUGUUGCGAAAAUAGAAGAAUUUAGCAACUUAGAGGCAAGUUGUGAGAUGUAAGACUCUCGGAUUAUCAAAUUGGAUAAUCUUGUUUCGAUGGGAUUAUUGAGUCUCAUCUGAGAGGUUGGGAUUGAACUAGGUCGGAUCAAACCCUUCUCCGUCGUGGCUCCUGAUGCCUUCGAGUUGUUAAAAUCGCUUCUAAUUAGGUCUCUUAAGGUUAGUUAUUUGCAUCUCCGAUGGCUAAUAAGUAGAAAUAACAUGUUAGGGAACUAGAAAAUCGAAGUUUGUGAGCAAUAAUGUCCUCAUCCCAGGUCAUUGUCAAUAAUGGUUGGUGCAAUGCAUACUUAUCAAUUAUUUAAACUACAAUGCAGUAUGAGUUUUUUAGGCAAUAAAAGCUUGUUUAGAUUUUUCCAGUUCAGUGAGGACAAAAUAUUGUAUUGAAAGCAGGUAAUUAAAAUUUUGUGUCCAUUUUUUUAUUACUUUUUCUUUGUUUUCCUUGUUGUAUUCAAUUAGGCGACUAGCCCUUGUACACUUCAAUAGAAUUGGUCUAUCAGUUACUAUCAACAAGUGCCCCACUUAUGUUUAAAGAAAAGCCUAAAAUUGGAGAGAAGCGAUUCUGAACACUAGCCUCUAUGCUUGGGCACAAAUUAGAGCAUGGAGAGUAAAGCCAUCAUAGUAACAUAGGUUGCUUUCAAUAAGCAUUUCAGACAAUGUGUGUUUGCCCUUUUUCAUUGAACUUCGAUGUAAAAUAGGUUCACAAGGGCUUCUGUUUAGUAUCUAAUAAGAUUUUUCAUUGAACUCACACGUUGACACAUUUUAGGAAAAAGUUAUUAGAUUAGACUAAGGCUUUGCGAUGAGUUCAACAUGUUAAACCCCGAUUAAGGUUUCAAAAUAACUCUGUUUCUCUAUAGUUUAACAGUUAGCUAGAUUUGUAGUUCACUAAUGAGAGACAGAGAAGUAAAUGGAGAUUAGGUUCGCUUAUUGCUGAUUUUUAAUCGGAUAGAGAAAUCACUAUUGUAAGUUGACAUAAUUGGUAGGUAGAUCGGAAAGAAAAGCAAGCAUAAGAUGCUGAUAUGCUUACUGCAAUGUCACUGCUUGACAAAUAUAUAAAUACUUGAUUAUUUUCUCUGCUAUGUCACAGCUGUUCUAUGAAUGUAAGUAUUUAGAUUUAGCUUUCAUGUUCCUGUCUCUUUUAAUAACAUAAGUUUAAGAAUUUUGAUUGAAGGUGACUCUAGCGGGAGUAAUGAACUUCAUAUGAAUGUAAACCACGCUCUUCUUCACAUCCUUGUACUAGUGAGGACUUUUGAAUGGCCAGCUCUGAGAACAUGUGUACCACUUUAAUAUUACCUAGUCCGGUGGAUGACUUAAUUAUAGACUCAUUAUAUCAGUUUUCAUUUUGAUAGCUCUGAGAUUGGAUAAAAUCACUAUAUAUAUUGAAACAUUCUGACCAUAACAUUGAAUUUCAGGAUCAUAGUAGCAAUUGUGACAGUCAUCGAGAAACUUGCAGACACAGUUGUUUCAUGGUAAUGAGUAACAAUAAUUCAACUUCUUAAUGCUCGUUUUCUCUCAUCAAAAGCAUUACCGUUAUGUUCCCCUUAUUUUCUAUGAAAGGGUGCCGAUGUAUGGAGAGGUGAAGCUCGCCUUCUUUGUGUACUUAUGGUAUCCAAAGACAAAGGUAACCCCAGCUAAACUCGACCAUAGACCGAGCAUGCAUCGACCAACUUACUGAUUUUAAUGCGAUUCCUUUUUUCCAUCAGGGAUCUGAUCUGGUCUACGAGACGUUCCUGCGACCAUUGGUGAUGCAGUACGAACCAGACAUUGAGCAGAGACUGCGGCAUUUGAGGGCUAAGUCAGGGCAGCUCAUCAUGUUCUACAUUAAGAAUUUCAGCGACAAAGGAACCACUCUCUUCCUCGAGGCACUCAACUAUGUGGUCUCUCAGGGUUCGCGAGUUUCGCGCUCUGAGGUAAUUUUAAUUUCAAUUUUUAAAUCCCUGCUGGUUAGUUUGCUUCUGAACUAGCAUGCGCAAUUUAUGUAGCGUAAGAUAGGUGUGCAUGGACCAAACUAAAUGGUUAGAUUAGAUCUGAUUCUUCUUUGUUUUCCAUAGGAAAAGAUUUUACGAUAAACUAACUGCAAUUGAAACAGAGAGUUUGGCUACUAAGGAUAUAUAUCGAAAAACAUUGUUUUAUUACUAAAGCUGCUUCUGUAAUGUAGAUUCCCAAGUUCAAAAUUUAAUAACAUCCAUGUGAGUUCAAAAGCAAAGAAACCGUUGUAGCGGUUGCUGCGCAUGAAUAGAAUGCUGUGAGCCAAAAACUUGUACUUGCUCUCUACUAACUUCACAUAUGCUGCUGCAUCUCAAUCUCACAGAGCUUCUUCUCAAGGAGCAAACGGUCGGCAUCGAGCCCCGUGGCGACCAAGCACUCAUCGACGGCCUACGACACACUGGGCUCCACAGCCGACGAUGUGGCCGCCGCCGAUCCCCACGCCGGCCGUCCCAAACAACGGCGACCGCCAUACAAGUAUUAGAAAAAAGAUUACAAAAAUCUACUAAAGUGAAAAAAAAAGAAAAAAAAGAAAAAAAAAGAAGAAGAUAGUAGAAGAUUGAAACCAAUGUGAAUACCGAGAUAGUAAUGCCACAGAUGAACUGCAGUUUGUUCAGUUACUGUUCUUCGCUCUCUUUCUUUUUUUGCUUGGAUAUGUAUCACGACUUGUUAGAGUUCCAAUGUUGUGAAAUUCGAAAUAAAAUUAAAUUAAAUGUGCGAAAUUAGUAGGAUAAAAUGCAUGUAUAGUGUCCAUAAUGUCCGAAUGACGUGAUAUAUAUAGAUUUUACAUUACGUAUUAAUCUCCUCCGGCUACAAGAUCGAGUACAGGGACUAUACAUUCAUUGAAUGGCCGCGGAAGCAGCCGAAGCAGCGGAGUGGAUCCAUAGCGCAGCCACGGAAGAGGAGCGGAAGGGCGGCGAAGAAGCGGCGGACGAGGCUCCGGCCGCGACCGCAGCAGCGACGGCGGGGAGGAUGCGGCGGCAAGAGCUGGAGGUAUGUGCGGGCGGCGUGCUUCACGAGGGGGUCCCGUAUCGCCAUCCUUCCUGCAGAGGCGGCGGCCGCGGCAUACUCUGGCGAUCCGACGAUGUCGCGGAGGCUGACGUAGCCCUCCUCGGAGUUGCACCGCCGGAGCUCGAAUCUGUUGUCACCGCCGUAGGCCGUGGGGAAGCGAAGCGGCCUCGGCAUUGCGUCGUCGUGGCCGCCGCACAUGCAGCAGAGCCGCGGCGGUUCCCGGUGCCUUGUGUCUAGCAUUGUAGAGAGAGAGAGAGAGAGAGAGGUGGAAAGAGUUUACGUAGGAAGAGUUUCGUACGUAUAUAAUGUAUGUAGUUUGGUAUAGUAUGCAUGUAUAUAUAUAUAUGUGACGAGAUUAGAUAAAGGGAGUAGUAGUAGUAUAUCUAAAGUUGGAGAAGUACUAAACUUGUCCUACGUUUUAGGAGGAGAUAAUAUGUUUAUAGAUAAUUCUUUCACUAAGAUAUUGAGUAAGAAUCCUAAUAUGUUUAGGGAGGGACUAGAAUUGUCAAAUUAAGAGAUUAGUUUCGGAUUAGGUAUGUUAACAAAGAAUUUUUUAAAAAAAUUUAAUUUUUAAUAUUUAAAAAUAAUUUGAUAAAAAUAUAAAAUUUAUUAUAUUCUAUAUGUAGGUGUAAAGAUAAUAUUGCUUAUUAAAUUAUUCAAGGAUCUGUAGCUAAAAAACGAUUUUUGUUAAUAUACGUGGCAGCUUGCGCUGGUGCCACGUGUCUCUUCCUCUUGCCUCACAGAUCAUGGAGGGCCCAGGUCCCUCCCAAUACUUUUAGGCCCAAGAAGGCCCAAGACCCAAUUCCACUCCAAAACCAAACGUACACCCUUACGUCCUCCACAUCCACACGUCCAUUUCUCACCAUCAGAGCCAAAAACGCCAAAUCUCCACCGCACGAUUCAUGGGCCGAGAACACACGGCCCAGUUACGAUCCACGUGGCCCACUAUAAAUCCCCCCCAAAUCCUAUCGUCUUCUUCGUCUCUCUCUCUCUCUCUCUCUCUCUCUCUCUCUUCAAUGGCCGCAGCGGCUCUGUUACUCUCCACGCUCCCGCCCACGAAACGCGACCAACUCCUCCAAACCCAACUCAAACCCUCGCUCCCCACCGUCCGUCCACCCCGGAGCCGCUUUAAGAUUCGGGCCGUGCAGGAAACGAAAGAGGAGUUGAAGAGCUCCUCCUCGUCGCCCGAGGAGAUCACCGAGAAGUACGGGCUCGAAUUUGGGCUGUGGAAGGUAUUAUUACGAAAUUUGGAAAAAAAUAUAGAAUUAUUGUGCACUAGUUAUUUAAUUAGUUUAGUACGCGGUAUUUCAUGUUCUUAAUCCGUAUUAUCCCUUUCGUUAUAUUGUUUUUGUAGUAAAAUUUGUUUGAUUUGAUUUAUCCAAAGCUGUUUUAAAAUUCAAAAUUUGAAUGUUUUAUUUAUCCUCCUUAUAAAUUAUGUAGUUUUUAAAAUAAAAAAUUUAUUAAAAUAAAUAAUUAGUUUAAAUAUUGAAGUUAAAUUUUUUUUUGUGAUGGAUUAAAAUUAAACGAAUUGAAUGGGUAGAUAGUAAAAUCAAAAUUUUAAAAAAUUGUAUUGUCGAUUCAAAAUAAUUCAGAUAAUGUACAUUUGCUCCCAUGGUUAUUAGCGCACAUGUUAGGAACUUGUGAUUUAUCUAAUUUUUAUGGUGCACUUGAACGAAUGUGUUAGAAAAAUAAAAAUAAAAAUAAAAAUAAAAAAUUAUGCACCAACUUUUUCGGCGAUUAUAUUGUCUAGUUCAAACUUCAAGCUGCUUUGAAAUUCGAGCACCGUUACAGUAGAGUCACCAUAUAUACUCGUCUUUUUCUGUAAAAUGUUAUUUAUUGUUUCCUACUAAAUUGAUCUUUUUUGGUAGUAGUAGUAAUUAAAUAUUUUGCGAAUACAAUUGUUUGUGAAAAUGUGGAUUUGGUGUCUUUUUGGGUUGUAGAUAUUUAGUUCUAAGGAGAGAGGAGGAGGAGGAGGAGAUGGAGAAGGGAAAGAGAAGUCCAAAGGGGAUCAAGCAAAGGAACUUUUAGCUAAGUAUGGGGGAGCUUAUUUGGCUACUUCAAUAACCCUCUCUCUUAUCUCUUUCGCCCUCUGCUACAUUUUGAUUAGUGCUGGGAUUGAUGUGCAAGCCCUGCUAAAUAAGGUAUGUAAUAAUAUGGAGCUGAUUCUUUAGGUUUUGUUUGAGAUUAUUCUUUUUCUAUUUAUUUUUUUAAGGUAAAAUUAAUGGAUGGAGAUCCUACAAGUAGACCUCUAUGUCUAUAUAUAUAUAUAUAUAUAUAUUUUUUGAAGUUACCAUUUUUCAGCUUAUGUUUAUUUUGAAUUGAGUUACUUAGCGUCGAGGAAUCGAAAAUUUUUAUUGAAUUUAGUGACGAUUCAUUUAAUUUAAUGAUCUUGUCCCUUUCAACUAACAAGAAUAUCUGAUGAAAACAAGUUUAAGUUGGAACGAGCAAAACCUCAGGAAGGAUCUCAAUACAUUUUGAUCUUUUCGCUACAAGGUGAAGGGGAUAUGUAUUUAACAGUAAGGCUUUCCAAUGUUGCUUGAGGCAGGUCGGAAUUGUGACGGACGAGACCGGAGGGAAGGUGGGGACGUUUGCGUUGGCCUACGCUGCGCACAAGGCGGCGUCGCCGAUCAGGUUCCCUCCGACAGUGGCGCUCACUCCGAUCGUCGCGAGUUGGAUCGGAAAGAAGAGAGCCAAAUCAGAGGAGAAGUGAUCACUGAUUACUUCUCUCUCUCGAUGUGCACUUGAAACGCCACCCAUUUUGAUCUCCUUGCUCGCCUUCUUUUCCUUGUGUGUUUAUAUGUGAAGUAGAGAUUUUAUGAGUAGACAUGUAGAUUCAUGUUAUGUUUUGUGUUGUGUAUAUUAACAAGAUGAAUAGAUAUUACUUUUACUAACAUACUGAACUCUGAAGAUUCAUUUUCCGACAAAAAUUCGCCAAUUGAUAUUCGGAGAAGUUGAUUUCUAGCAAAAGAUUUGUCACCAAAAUUAUGUAGACGACUCAUUAGUCAUUAUUGCCUAUGCUUUAAUGCAAACCCUCCAACAGCAAAAUGAAAUCCAAGUUUUCAAUAGUCCGUAAGUAGAAAACAUCAUAACAAACUUUGCGAUGUCUAAUACCUCAAGAUUAAAGCCAGGGACCAAAGUGAAACUCAGACCUGUUGGUGUUUUAUGAUUGACAACGCAAUAGCUAUAGAUCACAUACGUUUUAUAGUUCAUCAUAACUCUCACAAGCAACGGAUACAUUGGAUUUCAAAUAUUUGUAGUUCAAUAACAGGAGAAACAUCAUAUUUUCUGAAAAAAUAUAUCUAUAUGGCCCAUCAAUUUACUUGAUAUGUAGAAUAAGUAGCUAAAAACCAUUCUCAUGUUCGAGUUAUUUAGAUCACGCAACUCGCUGAGGAUGAGUCUGCCUUCCAGAUUUCAAGAACUCAAAAAAGGAUGCUCCAUAUUCGCUUUCUCCAUGCCGCUUAUGCCACUCUUCGGUAUAUAAUUUCCGACCCAAAGUUGUUGCACUUAAAAGAGAUAUACAACAUCUAUCAUGCAACAUCCCCCUCAUCUUAAGUACUAUGUUGUUGCUUCGGACAAUCAUUUGCUUGUUUACUUAUGUGUCAUUUAGUUUUAGUGAACUUGAUGAACACUUCAUUCCUCCAAUUAAAAAAAGAAAGCAGCAGCUCUGAUUUUUACCUACAGUAUUCAGCUUGAACAAUCUCCGCGUUUAUCUUUGUGUUGCAUCUGUAUUGGAGGGGGCGUCAAUUACGCCAGACUCUUGCUGAUUUUGGGGCCGGGGUGUACUAACCUCGCCUGCGAAGUACUCGUCCAUGCUGAAUCUAUCUAUCUCAUCAAUUUGCUGUUCAGCUGUUGAUUCGAGUCAAGUACUCACGGUUGCAUGCACAAAAACUAAAAUAAUAUGUAGAAGGUUAAAAUGUCGACGAUCCUCCUAAACAUAUCACAAUUUGUCACGAUUUGCACUCCCCCCUCUCUGUAUUCACAAGGGAUUAAACUGCUAGCAUUUAUAAAAUGUAAGGGUUUAUUUCUAGGUUUUGAUUGUUGAGAGGGGUACAGGGCAGAUUGCAAUACAUUCAAGAGGUUAUCUGCAUUUUAACCUUGGUAGAAAGCAUAGAAUGAAGAAAAUGAUGAUGAAUGUCUUGAAGGAUACGUGCUGUUUUCCAUAUCUCAGUAAUGCUAGCCACAGAAUCCGAUAAAAGCCAGUAGUCAGCAUCGGUCUGCAAUUUAAUGAAACAAAUCAUUAUAAGAAUAUGUUUACACCAGUACUAAGCGGCUAUAUCCCAGGAAAAUUAUUUGCAUGAUGAAGCAUGUGCAACACCUCAAUUCAAUGCAACUUUUGGAUUGCAGUUUAGACAAAUUUAUUUGUAAUGAAAAUUUACUACUACUGGAUGAAGAUCUAUCAGAAGCAUGUUCUUGAGGCUAGAGCAAACUCUUAAAAUAGAGGUGAUGAAAUGCGACAAUCCUUCCUAAGUGAUAAUUGUUACUCAUAGUAUACAGGGAAUGUGUGCGCCAACCAACGAGAUAAUAGGAGUAAAUUACACAAUUGGAUAUGUUCACCAACCAACAAAAUAUUAGGAGUAAAUUACACAAUUGAUCACCGAACUCAUCAUGCGAUGCAAUUUAAUUUAGGUCGUUGAACUUUCUUUUGUUGCAAUUAAGUCAGUGAACUUCAAUUUCUAUUGAAUAGGGCCACUUCUUCCACCUAAGUUUAAUUUCUCAAAAAUAUAUAUAUAUAUAUAUAAUAGAGCGAUGACUGAGAGGCUGAUUUGAUAAUAGUGGUAUCUCAAAAGGAUAAUGCAGAGAUCAUGUUGCCAAGAAUUUAAUUGCCAUGUCAUCUCAAGGCUAUUUAAUUUACCCUCCACAUUAUCUUCGAUAAAUAACAAUCAGCUAAAUCAGCAUCAUUUCAACUCUUUGAUACGACAUGGUAGCUGAAUCCAUAUCCAAAUCAUCCAUCCCUCAGAGGAUUUUAUCGGAGUAUGAUAGAGUGACCUUGUUGAAAUAAAAACUGAAGUUCAGUUACGUAAUAGCAAUAAAUUAAACUUCCGCUACCUAAAUGAGACUUUACAGUAAGUUCCAUGACCAAUGGUGUCUCAAACAUUGAAUGAUACCACAACGAAUCGUGAGUGAUCGGUGGAAUACUCUUUGACAAUUUGCACUGUAGAAAAGAACUUACAUCAUCAUCUGAAGGAACAAUCUUUGUCAUUCCUCCCAGAUAAUCCUGUGAGGCAUUUAUGUCCAGGGCAAUCCUCUGACCAUCUUGAACAUUUAGUUCUGUCUCCUUACCUCUGCUACUCUCUGCAGCUACCACUGCUUUACAGCUUUCAGCAGGCCUUGAAUUUGGCAUCUGCGUAUUCCUUGGGGGAGUCUCCACACCACUCAUCUCCUCAAACUUCUCCUCAAAUUGACUGAAAAUAGUAAAAAGAUGGAGCUCAAAAGGUGAAAACAAACAAUACAAUUCAGAAUGAACGACGUAGUAAAUUUCCCAUUAGAAAUUAUUUACAGCAUUUGAGGAGAAGAAGACCGCAUUACCUAACAAGGUAAACAUCUAUUGGACCCAUAGUACUUCUUAGGACAAUUCUGUAUCUUCUCUGCAAAUAGUCACCAGCCUGCAUGCAGAGGGAGGAUAAAUUCCAAACGGCUCAAAUUGUCACAAUAGUGAAGUACAAUAAGCAUUGUUAUGAUACUUUAAAUCUUCUGCAAUGUUUCAACUCUCACUUCACUCUUACCUCGUCAGGAUCCGGGACUUCCAGCGUAGUGCCAUGAGGUGCUUUUAUUGCAAUUAGGGUUUCAUUCUGCAAUUAAGUAAAGGAGAUAUCGAUCCUUGUACUACUUUAUUGCGGUGAAAACUUGAUUCUACUAGAAAUUAUGGUAGAUCGAAUAAGAUUAACCAUACCUGAAAGCAGGGCAGUCCUUUAAUGUCAUCCUCCGUGACAUAAAGCCACCUAUAUGUAUGGAUGAUAUUGGAAAUUCAAAGUAAGCAUGAUUCGCUAACUGAAAUAACUUAGCACAAAUACAAGCAUGAAAAAUACAAUUAUUUUUCUUCUCAGAAGGAAAAAUAGGAAACACAAUUACUUUUGAUUAUUAUCGUCUUCUGUGAGCUCCCUUAACUUCUCUCGCAUUUCACUGCACAGAACCUAAUGUUUCAGAGGAUUACCGUACAAAGCAAAGAAAACAACAGUUCUACAGGUUUUGACCAAUGGCCAACCUUAUGCGCUCAUCUACGUUCUGCUCCUGCAAGGUAAGAUUUUCAACUUCCUCCUGAGAAAAAAAAAGAACAAAACAAAAAAAAAGCUAAGAACUUAGUUUUAGCCAUUCUCUUUCAGGCAAAAGUUAUAAAUAAAACAAACAGGUUAGCUCUUCAGAAAAGUGGUUAAAGAAUAAUGACUUUGACAACAGACAAAAGGAAAAAAUUGCACAGAAGCACUAUACCUGUAAUAUUGAGAAAUCAUUGUUAACUUCUGGUCUUGAGUCAUCUAGCCCCCUGGGAGUAAUAAAUUUUUAACUGUUAAAAGGACAAGCAGAAAGGAGGAAAUAUCGGCGAUAUAAAAGAUAAAAAAGUAAAAUUACUUCCAACGGAUUCUGUUCUUGAGUUUCUUUUCAAUCAGCCCGAUCCCUUCAAGAACAUUUGUUAUGUCAUAUAUUCGCCUCUUUUGCACCUGAAAGAUCCGAAGUAAUUGACUAAACUUUGCCGAAAGAAUAGCAUUUCACAUAACUAUGUUAGUAAUGACCAGCUAACCUCCAAUGUCUCUGCAGCUUUAUUCAAAUCAAGGAUGCCAUCUUGUGCAUGCUUAAGCAAAUUGAUGAACUUUUUUGUCAAUAGUCCUACAAAGCAUUACAAUGUAAAAUUAAGUAUGACAAGACAGUAAAUCUUCAUAUAGGCUCUUCAUCUCUAGAGCUGCUGAACUUUCCCAGAGUCGAAGAUACACUACAACUGAUUGGAGUCAUAAGGCUAAGAGUGUUGUAGUUACCUAGAGAGCUGUCAUAACGACAGGUACCGACUGGUGUGAGAGGAUUGCUAGAAGGGGAACCUGGAAAGACAAAAAGAUACAGCUUUUAGUCUAACAUAAAGCGCGCACACACACACACACACACACACACACACACAACCUAUAUACUCUGCAAAAUUAUCUCGUUAUUGAUAUAUCCUUGCAAAAAUUGAGCGUCUUUGUGCCCUUCAGAAACUUAAAGUUCACAUAUUAAAGCUUAAAUUCUAGACAUAUCAGAACUUAAAUUCUACAUAUGUUUCCAGUACUGACAAAAAUGCACCCAUUCAAAAAAAAAUUUGUUAGUAGAAACCAACCUUUUCAAGUGAAUUGUAUCCUUCCCACCUUCACAUGGGAGUAUUUUUUUCCAAGAAACUACACAUUUGAGGAGUCUAUACAGAUAUUAAAAUUUUACUAGGGUAUACAUGUAAAAGAUGAUUUUACAUGGAUAAACAUAUGUAAAAGCUCAUAAAGCAAGCAGGAGCUGUUUAACAAAUAAGCCUUUCCUCAUAAAAAAAGACAGAAGUGAUAAAUAAAGAUCAGAAGGCCAGUAUUCACCAGCAUUUGACAUAGGGGUAUGAGGCCCAGCUUUAUUGUAUUUUGGAGCCUUUGACUUGCCAUGCACUCUACCACCUUUUCCAGAUACUGGAGUAAGAAGUGGACUGCUAACUGCUUCAGCAUAUCCUGGACUAGUUGUCCACUCACUCGAUUCAGCAGCUUCAUUUUCUUCCUGAUCAGCUUUUCGUUUCAACUGCACAGAAAAGAUCAUCACCAAGAGCAAUAUGGUCAGUAAGACAUCUAUGUAUGUGUUUCAGUAGGGGUUAUAUACGUUCAAUCUCUGCCAACAAUAAGGAUCUGAUUGUUAUAUAACUUUAAAGCACCAGUAUAGCACAACCACACACAGCCUUAGACCACAGGCUGGGAGAAUGAUUGAGGCCAUCUACUUACCACAAAAAGUUCCAGAAAAAUGAGAAAAGAAGCAAGAGCAGUCAUCAAACUUUCUCAUUGACCAGAAAAAACCAUAGUAAAUAUAGCAGGAGUCCGCCAUUUUGGUGACAACCCACCACAAAAAAGACUACUAAAUUUCAACAUUAACAGCGACAUAAAGAAAAUAUUUAUAAAUCCUGUUCAGUUCAAAAAAAAAAAAUCCAGUAGCUUAGUGUACAUCUAGUAAGGUAAAACUUCUGAGUUACAUCUUUCACAUGAUUUCAGUUAAAUUCCAGAUUACACUGUGAUGGACACCGAAAAAUUAAUAAAAACAUGUCUGAUCCAAGGCAUCCCCUUGCAUUCAAACUUCUAUGAUGAUUAAACAAAUCUUUAUUCUUUUUCGAAUGAGUCAUAUAACAUGAGGUAUAAGACAAUUCUAAAGAAGAAACGGCUAAAUUGGUUAUGAGAACACAUGCGCAAAUUUUGCUUAUAAUGAUCUUUCAACCUAGAAGGAGAGCAGUGCAAUAUGGUUGCGACAUUCCAAACGGUUCCUCUCAAUAAAGUGAUCUGCACUCUGAUUUACUAGAUAUGAAAUGCACAUUUUUCACACAAACCUAGAUAAUAAUGAUAAUAAUGGAUCUAACUGUCAACACACACACACACACACACACAUAUACAUACAUACAUACAUACAUACAUAUAUAUAUAUAUAUAUAUAUAUAGAGAGAGAGAGAGAGAGAGAGAGAGAGAGAGAGAGAUAACUCAUAGAGUUUACAUUGUAGGAAGAAGAAUGUAGAUCCAUUACCUUUAAAAUCCAAACCUCUAAUUUCAAUUCCUUUCAACUCAUAAAAGCCAUCACCACAGGCAACCACUGAUUAACAUACACCAUGGCUUGAAUCCGAACUAGCAAACAACUAGAGAAAUAUUUCUCCACCAAUCAACUCUACGGGUGGCAUGACCUUUCUCUGUCAGGAGCCAUGGCCUCUACAGAAGUAGUUACAUGUGCAACUUCAAGAGAAACCACAUGUUCAACUAUAUACAAGUUAGCAUGCUUUUCUGCUGAAGUGUCAUAAUAUGUGUAGAGAAUCACAAAUUUGAUAAGAAAUCAAGAAAAUCAAACAGGUUAUCCCAAAUUAUUAGUGGAAACUGUUAUGAUCACUUAGUGGAGACAAGAAGAGAAAAGCUGUGCAGCAAAAAGUAUACGACCUUGGAGUGGCAUUAUGAGAGCGAAAAAGGGAUCUGGAAAAGGGCUUUGACAGAAGGAAAAAAAAAAAAAAUUACUGCAGAACGGAAGUAGGUAAGUAACUUAGAACUCUUUCCCCUCAAUAAAUAACCUAUCAAAUAGCUUGUCCUAGUGUUAUCGUCCUUUAGGCUGCCGAGCAUCAACUGAUUAACCUAAAAAAGAAAGAUCCGACCUAAGCAAAAUCCUCAAUUUAGUAUCCCAGUAAACAAUCGCGAGAUCCUACCAUUGAGCUUAGCUCCCAACACUGUAGAAGCCCUUUGAUUUAGGCUGAUAAAAUCACUAACAAGCAAAAGAUCCGUAAAUGGAAGAGAGACAUUUUAGCUCAUCUCCAACAGCAGCAAAAAAAUUAGGAUCUAGAAAGGGCAACAAAAGAUACGGCAAAAAACAGCACAAACACUUCGAAACCAAAAGCCGACCCUUCAAACCAAGCAAUUUCUCACCAAAGCAACCAUUUCUACUACCAUCGAACGAUAAAAUAAGCAUCGGAAAGAGCUAAACCACACAAACCCUCAAUCAAACGAGAUCGUGUCUCCAGUCUUAGCACAACAGACUAAAACGCACAAGCCACGACACGGAACUCACGGGAGUCUUAAUAACCACGGCCUCGGCCAUGUCGUCGGCGGCGGCGGCGACGCGGCGGCCAUCGGCGGCGGAGAAGCGGUGGUACUCGUCCGGCGCAGGGAACGGCGGCCUGGCCGACGGGAACGGGAGGUGCCGCCGCAGCGGCUGGAAGAUCUUCUGCCCCGAUUGCUGGUUCCCAGCUGCUCGGCCCCCACCGGACAUCAAAUCCGAGCAAUCGAGACCCAAAAUCUCACCUGGAACCCCCCGAUCUUCCGAUCGAGCCCCAAAAACCCGAUCAAAACCCCGAUCGAUGGCGAAAUCCGGGGCCCAAACCCUCGAUUCGGAUCGGAAUCGGCGUGGGAUCCGCGGAGGAGCUCCGAUCGGGGAAGGGGAUCUCGGGGGGGCGUCGCCGCCGCGCGGGGAUCGGCGGCGGAGGCUAGGGUUUCGAUCCGGGAUCUGGGGAUUUUGGGGGAGGAGGAGGAGGAAGAGGAGAGAGAGGCGAAGAGGAGUGAGGAGGUUAAAAAAGCGGAGAGAGCAGAAAACGAGGGAAGGGAGGGAAAUUAUAGUUCGGACUUCGGAUAGAUAUGGAGGGAAGGGGCGUGCGAGUGUAAUAUUAGAAAUAAAUAAAUUAAAAAAAAAAACAAUUAUAUAUUAAAAAUGGCGGAAAAACGAAAUUAGAAAUUUCCCCCGUAAAUUAACGAACCACGCUACGUGGUCGCCGGCGAUUGGACGACGAUGACAUUAAGAAAUGUUGGGGGGGAUUUUUUUUUCUUUUUUUCGUUCGAGGGGUUUUUAUUUAUUUAUUUAUUUUCUGUCGGAUGCUAAAUAUUAACGGGUCGGAUCCUCCGACCUGUGACCCGGACUGGAGACCAACCGCUCAAAUCGCUCGGCUUAUGGGGUUCGAAUCGCCGAUGCCCGCGCUUUGGAUCGUCGUUUGCUCACGAUUUUUUUGGAGGAAACCCUAAUACCCGCGGAAAUGUCACAUGAACCCGGUGUACCCGUACAUUUAUUAUAGUAUACUAUUAAUAAAUCUCUAUCAAAAAUGCCUAAAAGAUUUAGAGUUUAAUUACAUUUCAUAAUAUCAAAAAUUUAUAAACUAUAAAUUUUAGAUUUUAAAUAUAUUUUUAAAAAAAUUGUACUGUACAUUCCCGACUUUCGGGAGUCAUAAUUAGCAUGCUAAAAUCAGAAAGAAUAUUUUUUUUCUUUUCAAAUUUAACAUUUUUUUUUAUAAUAUAAUUUUUUUUUUACGAUUAUGUUAUAAUUUUUGAAACAAUGCCCAUGGAAUGACACUCUUGAUCAUAACUUUUAUUUAAAAUUGCAGAUAAAAUAAAUUAUAUGCAAUAGAAAAGGCACAAUUAAAAAUUAUUCAAUUUUUUUUUUUACAAAUAAUAACAUAUUACACAAAUCAUACCAAUUCAUUUAAAAUUAAUUUUUACGAUGUGAUAAAAAGCUGAGUAACAUAUCUCUAUAUAUGAUUUCGCUCCAACAUUUUUGUGCUAAUAGUGGUUGAUAGUUCUUAUAGUAUCAAAUUAAUCCUUGAUACACUAAAUAUUUAUUGCGGCCUAUUCGAUUUUGAUACACGCGGUGCAUGGAAUAUUUUUUUAAUGGGGGAGUGGGCCCAGGGCUCGCCCACGCCGUCGGAUUUGGCGGGCGCUUUUCGCCCUCGUCGGGUCGGGGGGCACGUGCGGCGACGCGCCACGUUCUCGGUGUCACGUGACCGUGGGGGUGUUAACUCGCAAUUGGACCGCACUGUACGCACGGAUGGUUUCUGCGGCCAUCGUAACUCCGUGACCGUAUGUUGUCGUUUUUUGGCCGCAUAAUUGCUCGGAUCCGACCCAAUGCUGGUCCGGACCACAUUUAGCAAUUUGCUCAAUUUGCCCCAUAAUGGUCCGGACCAGUACUGUAUUUGUUCGUACAUUACGUAAUUUUUAAGUUUACUCGUAUGGUUAAAAAAAAAAAUAGGACAUAAGAAAUGGAAAUGUCAAAAAAAUUUUGGAUUCGUAAAUUCAUGUAUGGUAAAAAUCUCACUUAUUUUUGCUUAGUUUAACAUAAUACUAGUAGCAUUGGAAUUAAAUAGAAAUUGUAGCAUUGCUUUGUUUUAAUGUAACUCGUACAACAAUAGUUCUAUACAUAUUCUAUAAGCGAAAGUGAUUUUCACCAAUUGGUUUUUUUUAUAUUAUUUUUUAUUACUUUUUAUCCUGUGUAAAGAACUUUGGAACAUUUAUAAUAAAUCAACAUAAAAAGGANGAAAUAGAUAGCACGCUACCCGCUUCGUUUAUUUUAUUUAAAAAUAAACUUAACUGAAAAUGUGGAUCAACUAGGAUUCGAACUUGGGUUUCGGGUACUAACCACCAAGCCCUUUGCCACUUGUUCUAGGAACGGUCGGUGAGAAAGGAUUAUUAACUUGAUGAAAAUUGACUUUUCCUAUAAACUUCAUUUUCUCAUUUGUUUUUUGAGACAAAAUUUCUCAAAAACCUUCUUAUGAACUCCAUUUCUCAAAACUGCAAUGGCACUAAAUGUGAUUUGAAAGUAUUUAUGCUGCGCAACCUCUUCCAAUAUUUUAGUUCUGUUGGGCCAAUAAGGUGCGGACACGUGGUACACCGGUACUCCACUCAACUUUAUUUAAGAAUAGUAAUGUUGUAGUGCACCAGGAGCAGCGGAAGAAUUUUUAAACAAACCACUGUGCAAAUUAAGGGAAGUUACAGUAACCGCGAGCAAUUACAAGCGGUUCCGAUCGGCUGAAAAUAGCCCGAGAAAAUAGGGGUAGUGGCCGAUCAUGAAUAUACAAUAACUGAUUAACAAGGGCGAUCUAUAAAUAGGCCAAUAACACCUUAAAAAAGAGUCUUUUCUCCGUAAACAGAAGACCAUCUUUAUUUUCUUUACAAUUUCUUCGCAUUUCUUAUGAGUAGUUUACUUGUAACAUUUUACUUUCCAGCCUUUAUUGUUUUUCUCUAGGAGUAGAAGUAAACUAAAUCAACCGAGUCUGUAUGUCCUCAGGCACACUCGAUCCAUGUACUCUUCCUCAAGUUAAUUUCAAAGAUAUUUAAAGUUUUUUGGCUUUUUAAGGUGAUCAAUCACUGUGUUUUCAUCCAUUCGGCUCUUUGGCCAACCCUAGUUUUUGUGCAAUCCAUAUAUUCGGCUCAUCCAGUCGAACCGAUUCCAUAGUAGAGGUUUUGAAACUCGGCUGAUUCGAUCCUUCAACAGCCAAAUCGCUUGAUCUAGUCGAUGGACGCAAACUUCGAGGGUCAUUAAUCAUAGUCGUUCCGCACCCUGCAUCAUUUCCGAGGGAGAUCUUUGACCAGGUCAAAGAUCAGAACGUACGGCUACCAACAAGUUCAAAUUACUUCAUAUGUAUUUCAAUCACACAAACUAAAUACAUACAAAAUUAUCUAACAAGUUUAGCAAUUCUAACCCAAAAAAUAUAUAUAUAAAUUUUAUAGGAAUUCCAAUACGAGUGACUAAUGAGCAAAUAACAUGUAAUGGGUCAACCCGCUAGCAAUAAUAAUUCGUUAGGUACAAACCACUGAUUCAAAAUGCCUUUUUUUUUUUUUGAGAAAAAAUGCCUAUUAUUACUAGCAUGUAUACCGCAUAUAUUUUAAUGAGAAUUACUUUUCCACCCGAUGUAUGCCUCAUAUAUUUUAAUGAGAAUUAUUUUUCCACCCGAUAUGGUAGACUUGACCAGAAUUACCAGUCGAUAUGAGAUUCUAGAGGUGGCUCCUCCAACUAACAUUCGGCUUUGAUACUAAUUGUAACGGCCCGACCCGCUAACAAUAAUAACUCGUUGAACCCAAACCACCGGCCCAAAAUGGUAAAACCUGGUUAUUAUUGCUCGUAGGCUUCAUAUAUUCCAAUUAGAAUUAUUUUCACAUUCGAUGUGGGAUUAGAUCACAAAUACAUACCAGAAUUGUAAGGCAAUGUGAGAUUCUAGAGGUGGAUCUUACGGGUUCAAGUUGGGUCCAAACUAUAUCACAGAAACUGGUCAGAAUUACCAGACAAUGUGAGAUUUUAGAGAUGGCUCCCACGGUUUAAGAGGUGACUCCUCCAGCUAGUAUCCGACUUUAAUACGAAUUGUAAACAACAUGACCCGCUAGCAAUAAUAACUCGUUGGAUCCAAACCACCGGACCAAAAUACUUAAGCCCGAUUAUUAUUAAUUGCGUGUAGGUCUCGUAUAUUCUAAUUGUUAUGAUUAUUUACGGGAAAAAAGUAUAGAAUAGUAGUUUUUUUUUUUUACUUAUGUUGCAACUGAUGUAGCCCUACAAAAGUUAUUCUAAACUUACUAUUUAAUCUAAUUAUUUUUUGACAAUACAUCCUAUUGCUUUUUCUAAUGUAUAAAAUAGCCCAAUUAUGAUUCCAAAAAGAGCAUGCUAAAGAUUAAUGCUUCUUCAUUCAGCAAAUGUAGCAAAUAUAUAAUCAAAAUCAAAAAAUAAAAAUCCCUACCAUUUAAAUUUGGACCCGUAUAAUACGUUGUACGGUAAAGUGUAAAGCCAUUGUUUACGCUAUACGUACGAAUAUACGCUCCCGCUCGAUACCGGAUCGUGUGGCUCCGAUCAUCCCCUAUUUAAAAACCCUGAUCCCCAUUUCACCCAAUCCCCGUCCCCAAAACCCUCUCUCCUCUUAUCCACACCACACUCCGUGACCGAAGCGAGAGAGAGAGAGAGAGAGAGAGAGAGAGAGGGAGCUCACCUCCGUCGCCAUGGCCAUGGCUUGCGCGUUCUCCUCCAUCGUCUCCUCCUCCAACCCAAGAACCCUCUCCUCCAACUCCUCUCCCAUGGCGUCGCUCCCCCCCGCUCCCGUGUCCGUUCCCAAAACCCUAGCAGUUCCGAGGAGCUUCCACGGCCUUCGGAAGGGUUUCCACCCGCGCCCUGCUCCAUCGGUCUCCGCUCCGAGAUCGGCGAAGAGAAGCUUCGUCGUGAAUGCUUUGAACGGGGUAUUGUUCUUCUCCUAGCUACAUUUAUCGCACUUCGUUGUGGUUGAAUGCUUUGUGCUUUGUUAGCCUUAUAUUUCUUAUCCUAUUUGCUUAUUUUUCCAAAAUAUGUGCGGAUGCAGUUCUUAUUUGGUUACCUACGAUCAUGCUUAGUAGAUUUUGCAUAUUCGAGUCCACAAAUAGUCGAAUUCGUCUAUAAACGGUGUCUAAGUGUUAUUUCGUAUGCGGUCCCUUGGUUUCUAUGAAAUGUUCACUGAGUAUAUGGCUUUUGUAGAGUGAUUUGCCAUUGGUUGGAAAUAAAGCACCAGAUUUCGAGGCGGAAGCAGUUUUCGAUCAGGAAUUCAUCAAGGUAUAGCAAUUGAUAGUAGCGGCUUUUGAUUUGAAGUCCUUUGUUUUUGCUGUCUUUUGCUUUCUCUUCUGCUUUCAACUAUGUGUGAUAUUGAAUGCUGAAAUGUAAUUUUGCCCUUAGUCACUGUUAUCCAUAGUUCUAUUCUUUUUUUUUUUUGGAGUGAUAGGCGCUGUAAAUGUAGUUGUUGCUAACUCUUCUCUCUUUGUUUGACGCUUCGAAGUAUCCUGUAAGAUAUUGUGCAAUGCAGUUUCCAGCUUACUCUUGUAAUGCUCUCAAAGAAGAAUGACUUUGUGAUAUAUUAUAGUAAAUCAGUGAAUCACACCACUUAUAUCUAUUUUUCAAAUACUAUUGGUCCUUUUGACAGGACAAGUGUCAUUUUGAUUUACUUCUUUUGAGUUACUACUGAUGCAAAAAUGCACCCUUUGUCUAACUUGUGUUUGUUUCCAUCCUUUUUAUCUAUUGCCUUUUUAUCUAUUUUGUGUUAAAUUCUUCUAGUUAAUUUGAUAAUCUGUUAAAAUAGCUGAUGUAUUUGACAAACACCAAGGAAUUUCCUGUGACCUGACGUAGAAUAAAUAUAAAAGAUAAUAAUUGAGUUUUAGUGUUUGUCUUUUAUGGCCUUCGGCAAGUACAUCCCAAAUAAGGACCCCCCAAAAAUCAAUUAGUCCAUCUGGCACGUCUGCCCUUAUAAAUUAGGUGUAACUAAGUAGGAAAUAGCACUUUAUGAAGCCUGCUCAAGAAUUGGAUUGGAAAGAGGAAAUGAUAAGAUUUUGGAUGCCAAUUUUCACUAUGGUGCAAUGCGUUGAUUCUAUCAGGAAUUUGAGAAAUUUUCUGUUGUCUCUAUCUUUAUUCCUUCCGUUAAAGCAUAAUUGAUUGGAAAUAUUCAUUUAAAGUCUUUAAUAAUUUUGGUCAUGCUGUUACAGGUCAAACUCUCGGAUUAUAUCGGGAAGAAAUAUGUGAUUUUGUUUUUCUACCCACUGGACUUCACAUUUGUUUGCCCUACAGGUAAACGCUUCACAUUUACUGACAUUCAUCUUGAUUUUGGUGGGCAAUUUUCCAGGAUAGUUUGUGUAGAACAAUUUUUUUUAACCCUUUUCUGUUUUUGAUUUUCUGUGCAGAGAUUACUGCUUUCAGUGACCGGUAUGCAGAAUUUGAGAAGGUUAACACAGAAAUUCUGGGCGUUUCAAUUGACAGUGUGGUAAAUUACUCUUUUCCAUUUUAAACUUUCAUUCGUCUUUUGGCCUACUAUUUUCAAACUAAAGUAUCAACUGCAGAAUAUAGACACUUUAAAAUUUUUUGUCAUUUCUAACCUGAACGUUCCAUGGACAUGUGUCUAUUAUGUGUGCAUUGCGUGCCCCUUGUCCUCCUGUCAUUCAUCAUGCGUCCAUCGUGUAUCUACUGCAUGUCCUCGUGAUCAUGCACGUCCAUUGUAUGUCCAAAGGGUGUCGAUUACAUCCUGUAAAAGAAAAUGAAGAUACUUGAGUACUCAAUUUUCUAUUCCAGUUCACAUAGUUUUCUAAGUGAUUGCUGACAUAAAAUUAAAUAUUCGAGUUCUUUAUAAUAUAUUGCUAAUUCUUUGGAUUGAAGAUAUGCUUUAAAUUACCACCGUGAUUGUUGAUUUAAACUUUUCAAUUAAGACUGAUCAGUUGCUUUCUUUAGUGAGGAAAUCAUUAUGUUAAUGCUGUUUCUUCUAAAAACAUAAUGAGAAUGUAUUCAGAUAGAUCCGUUUAUUACCAAGUUGACGAGUUGGUGUGUCCAAGUUGUGCUAUGUCAUGUAUCCGCCUAAGUUAACUUUCAUGCAUUGCUGAUAAAAUUUAAGGCACAGGAGAAAUGCCGUGAGAAAUGAUCAUUGAUGAAUUAUGAUUUGUUUUUAUAAUUUAAAAAUAAAUUAGAAGUGGUUAAAAGCAGAAAUCAUUUGUACGUGGAUCCAAACUUGUGUCUUUAACGUGUAUCUCUGAUUCUGAUAUUAUGGUACCUAUUGAAUAAUUUGUAGAUUAUACGCUACAUAGGCUAAUUAGUAUAGAGUAUUUAAAUGUGUUAACACGUAAAUUUGUAUCUCUUAUACCAUCUUGUUUGUGAUUUACUUUCUUCUGGAUAUGUAAUCUGUCUUAUAAUACUGUAACUAUUUGCUUUGUGCAGUUCUCCCACCUUUCUUGGGUUCAAACUGAUAGGAAGUCAGGGGGCCUCGGAGAUCUGAAGUAUCCCCUGAUUUCUGACUUGACAAAAUCAAUUUCAAAAUCUUAUGGUGUCUUGAUUCCUGAUCAGGUGCCAAUUUGUUUAUGUAGUAUUAUUUGGUUAGCUGAAGUUCUAUUCCAUAUGGUUUAGAAUUUUUUGGCUAUAACUACUGCAGUGGAAAUGUGGAAUGAUUAAUAUCUGUAUCGAAAGACUUUCUUCAGUUUCCUGUUAAAUCUGACAGGGUAUAGCAUUGCGAGGAUUGUUUGUCAUUGAUAAGGAAGGAGUGAUUCAGCACUCUACUAUCAACAAUCUCGCCAUUGGUCGUAGCGUCGAUGAAACCAUGAGGACUCUUCAGGUAAAUUAACAGCAAGAAUCAGAAUUGGAUUUUGCAUUGAAGUUUUGUGAUUGUUAACUUGUUUAUAUAGUAAUAGCAUCAAAACUUGUAUGGUCGCUAAGAACUGUAUUUUUAUGCGUGCAGGCAUUACAGUAUGUCCAGGAGAACCCAGAUGAGGUUUGCCCUGCAGGAUGGAAGCCCGGGGACAAGUCGAUGAAGCCGGACCCGAAACUCAGUAAGGAGUACUUUGCGGCUAUUUAGGUUUGAAAAGCAAAAUUGGCGAUUGUUGUAUUGUUUGUUAGAGGUACAAAGGAGUUAUUUAUCAACCUGCGAUGUGUCCCAUCCUUUAUGAGUCUGGUAAAUGUGCAUCAGUAUCUUGAACAUUUCCUCCGACAACUCUCUGUUUUUUUUUUUGAAUAAUAAAAGAUUAGUUUUUACUCUUUAGGUUGUUACAUAGGUGUUUUCUUGACGGUAAUUAUAGACCUUACUUGUACUGUAACACUUGUAGGUAUGUUAGAACUAACUGCUUUUAAUUAAGAAAGUGAUAGAAUAUUCUCUCAAGUAACAAAUCUGUCAGGUUACAGAAUAUUCUGUUAGAGAGUUAAAAAAACACCAGUAUGUGCUGAUUAAUGUAUUCAAAUUCAACACUAUAAAGUUGAGUGGUAGAACCAAAAUUUUAAAAAUUAAGUUGCCCAUUUGAAAACGUUCUUAGAGUUCAUGUAAGAUCUGAAAAUUUUCGCCUAUAAUUGAAACAUCUAAUGUUCCUGUUGUGGUCCUUAAGCUGGAUUUUGAUAGAUCCAAAAUGAUGAGAACCCAUCGCUAGGUUAUAUUGUUCUGUCUUCUUAGGGCACAUUUUAAUGCUGAAGUUUAUUUAUUCGCUGCAAAUAAGCGGAUUAUGUUGUCUAAGAUGUGAGAAAUGAGUGAAAAUACCGAAGAAUACAUGUCGGUCGUCGCUACAACGUUCUGUUGCUUCUCCUUCUGCUAGAUGAUGGGUGUUAAAGAGUGCUUUGAAACUUCGACGUCAUUGUUUGGUCCCAAGAUAGUGAAAAAGUAGUGUUUGGGACCAAAAUUAUAUUUUGGUUUUGUUAAUAUGUACAUAAGGUCCAUCAGUUUAACUUAGAAUUUGAGUUCAGUAAAUUUAAUAUCAAAAGAGAGUUGGUGAUUCUUUUAUAUGUACCUGCAUAACCUUCUACUUUCUUUUAAAUUAAUAUAGCUAGCAAAUUUACUGCAGUGUUACAUAUGAUCUUUUGCACAUGAUCUUAACGUAGCCUUAUUGUUUUACGAGCAUUAAAACUAUUCAUAUGAUAAUGCUACUAGAUGGUUUCAGAAACGUCUUAUCAUAGUAGGUACUAUACUGGGGAUUCUUUUGGACAAGUAAUGCCAUAUUAGUGCUUUUAGUUUUCACUCCAUGUGGUUCUUUACUUAAAAGAAGUACUCCAAAUGAUAGAGUUUGAUUUGGGACAUAGAAAAGAUAAGAUUGUGAACUAAAAAAAUAUUGGGGGAAAAAAAAAAGAAAGAAAAAGUAGAAGCCUACUUUUCUUUUACAUCUAACAUGCAUUGCUUGUUGUGCCAAAAUUUUUUAGUAGUUGGUAACUGCUAAUGAUUGUGUAGGGAGUUAAAAUUGUGAGAUUCUAUGGUAUCCCUUUAACUACAUUCCUUUUCCUUUGAUGCACAUCUUUUGUAGCAUUGCAAGGUACUUUUCCCUUUCUAUUAUUAGACUCAUGCACAUUUAGUUUCUUUUGGACCAUGUAAGGAAAAAGCUUUUGACUGUGACCUGGAUUAAUUUGAAGAUAAAAGCGCAUUGAAAGUUUGUAAUUAUUUCCUUUAUUUCUUUUGAGCCAAAUGUUCUAGUGCUAGUUUAGUUUUAUGGGUAACGAAAAGAAAAUCUGUGUUGUUUUACUUAAACAGAUUAGUCGCUAAACUUAUAAAAUUUCUCGCAAUCUUUGUCCUGUUAAUUAGAAUUCGGAAAAGUUUUUUCUGUUCAAGUUGAAGAAUAUGAAAUCAAAUUACAAUUUCAGAGCAGUAAAUACUGAUUCCUGCAAUUUUUAUUUCUCGAGUAAAAGAAGACACCAUGAAUAUAGAGGAAGAUGUCUUGGAAAUUUCACGUAUUUUUUUUAAAAAAAAUCAUAUAUAAAUAAUCUCCAACGGAGAAUGUGGAGCUCUACUUUCUAUGCAUAUUUACCAUAUCAUGGAUCAAUACCAAUCCAAACAUCAUAAUCUACAACUAAAGUGUGUUUUAACUUUAAUAAAACGUGUCAGUGCCUUAGAAAAAGCAAAUCAACAAUGUUUUAAAAUGCUUCAAAAAAAAAGUUAUUAAAGUGUUUAUAAAUUUUGGUGAUGUAUAGGGUGGCGGUGCUACUAUUGAUCCUUGUUGUAUCACUAUCACACCCACCCACAAAAUUAACCAAGAGAAGGGACAAAUGUGUGAUGCUCAAAAGCUCUAGCUUUUUCUGAAAUGUUGAUUUUUGUGCGUUUUGAAACUGCAAUUUCCCACAACGCAGAGAUCUAAAUUUUUUGCGUUGGCUCGCUUUAUUCCUCAUACGCUUUUAGUCCAGAGGAAAGGAAUUAAGCCGUACACAGUUACCUAUUCUUUUGGGCCCGGGUCCACAUUUUAAAGAGGUUUUAUACUAUUUCUAUCCAUUUUUAGUAGGCCCUGUUAUAGUUUUAUAUACAUAUGAUCAUAGUUACAGGCCCACAUUUUAUUUAUAUGGCAUUAAUGAGCCAAGGAAGGUACCAUUAUUAAUUGAACAAGUAGGGUUAAAGUUUUUUUAAAAAAUUUUUUAUAUCAUUAUGUUGGUUAUCUAUUUGGCAUAGUUUUCGCAAUCACUUUUUACACAUAGAAGCAGUAGUUGGAUGUUUGCUAAUAAAAAGUUCAUAGCUAGAAAUUAGAAGAAAGAGAGUAGAGAUCGACCGAGCCUUAUUUCAUCAACUCUUUAGUGAUAAUCUCAAUCUUUUGACUAAGAGUUACUCGAUUUUAACAUGUACAUAGAUUUGGUACUAAAAUCAAAAUUAUCAAAGCGCAUGGAUGGAUUUACCUCCAAAAAGAAAGAAAAGAAAAUUGAUGCCCAUUUCAGAAUUGGUUUUAUAUCUCAGGAAUGGUUAAGUAUGACUUUAUAUCAAUUCCAAUAAGUUGUUAAAUCAAUCAAGAUAAAUUAAGAGAGAGAGAGAGAGAGAGAGAGAGAGAGAGAGAGAGAGAAGAGAGAGAGAGAGAAGGGCUGUGUCAUUGGAUCCUGGAUGUCCCACCACAUGCCUUAAACACACUUUUCCCACCACAAAAUCCACUUUGGACCCAAAUUCACCCUCCCCUACAAGAAAAGAACCAUAAAUAUAUAUAUAUAUAUAUAUAUAUAUAUAUAUAUAUAUAUAUAUAUAUCCCUCCCACCCCCUCCAAAAAGCAUAUAUAGAAGCUCAAAAGAACUGAAUAUAAAGCAGAUAGCUACUUCCACAUAACCAUCACUUCAACUUCCCCCACUCUCUCACCACUGCAGUCUCACACUCACCACACCCCCCCCCAACCUAGCUCUCUUAAUCAAUCAAACACCACCAUUAAUUUCCAUAGAAAUUAAGAAGAGUAGCACAGUAGCUAGAGAUGAGAGCAGGAGGGUGCACAGUGCAACAAGCCCUAGCCCCGGAGGCGGCGGCUAUCGUGAAGCAGGCGGUGAGUUUGGCGCGGCGGCGGGGCCACGCGCAAGUGACGCCGCUCCAUGUCGCCAGCGCGAUGCUCUCCUCCUCCGCGGGGCUGCUCCGCGCCGCCUGCCUCCGGUCCCACUCCCACCCCCUCCAGUGCAAGGCCCUCGAGCUCUGCUUCAACGUCGCCCUCAACCGCCUCCCCGCCGCCGCCGCCGCCCCCCCGAUAUUCAGCCACCACCACCAUCACACUCACUAUCACCAGGCGAUGUCGCUAUCGAACGCGCUCGUUGCAGCGUUCAAGAGGGCCCAGGCGCACCAGCGCCGCGGAUCGCUAGAAAGUCAGCAGCAGCAGCAGCAGCAACAGACGAUCCUCGCCGUCAAGAUCGAGCUUGAGCAGCUCGUAAUCUCAAUCCUGGAUGAUCCGAGCAUUAGUAGGGUGAUGAGGGAGGCUGGUUUCUCCAGCACACAAGUGAAGUGCAUGGUGGAGAAGGCCCUUUCCUUAGACCCUAACCCUAACCCUAACCCUAGCAAGCCCAAGGAGGUGGUUAUAACCACCACUACUCCUUUUAGCCCAACCCAGGUGAGCAAAGCUAGGGUUUUGGAUCAUCAAGUGGUGAUCAGGAAUGAAGAUGUUGUGAGCAUCUUGGAGUGCAUGGCUACAAGGAGGAAAAGGAGAAUUGUGGUGGUGGGUGAAUGCUUGGCCACCAUGGAAGGAGCUGUUAGAGUGGUGAUGGAUAGAGUAAGCAAGGGAGAGGUCCCUGAGAGCUUAGGUACCAACCUGCAGUUCAUACCAAUUCAACUACACUCAUUCAAGCACUUACCAAGGGAGGAGGUGGAUCUAAAACUUGGGGAGCUGAGGUGCCUUGUGAAGAGCUUUUGUGGAGGGAAUAAGGGGGCAGUUUUGCUGUUGGAGGAUCUAAAAUGGGCUUCUGAGUUUUGGGCUAGUUGUUUGGAGAAGGGAAGAGGCCACUAUUGCCCUGUGGAGCAUGUGAUCAUGGGGAUUAGGAGCUUGGUUUGUGGCUUAAUUGAGGGUUUUUGGCUUAUGGGUUUUGGAACUUAUGAGACCUACAUGAGGUGUAGUGGUGGAAACCCUUCUUUGGAGGCUCUCUGGGGUCUUCAGGUUCUCACCAUUCCUAAUUCAAACCUGGGAUUGAGCCUCAACUGUAGCAGGUACAGAUUUGGUUUCUAUUCUUAAAUCAUCAUUAAUACUAUGUAAUCAAAUUGCACAUACUUUUUUAAUCUCUGUACUAUGUAUAUAUAUAUAGAGAGAGAGAGAGAGACCUCCCUUCUAAAGCUUCUUAGAAUAUUUGAUCAGUUUAGGAAUGAACUUUUGAAUGCUUUGUGAUUUAAUUAUGCCACCUUAUGUGCAGUGCUUCAUUAUUUAAUUCUCUGCUUUUCUUACCUCUUUGCUUAAUUUUCUUGAUUUUGUAUUAGUUUCUAAAUGCAUGUGUCUCUCAGUAGAAAUGAAGAACAUGCUAGAUUUAUCAGAAAUCAACAAAACGGAAUUCAUAUUUCAAUUGUUAAAUUAUUUGAUUCUUUGUCACUUGCAAUUUGAACAAUUUCGUCGGAUUUAAUCUUGAAAGAGCCCUUUAUAUAUAUAUAUAUAUAUACUUUGGUACUUACAUAUUGAUCAAGCAUAGGUUAAUUAAAAAUAUUGGCUUUGUACUUGUUGCAGUGAUUCACUGAGCUAUGCUAAGGCCAAGAUAAGCGGAAAUGAAUCUUCGCUGUCCUUGUUAGAUGGCGGAGUCGAGAGUCAGCUUACAUGCUGCACCGAUUGCUCUUUCAAAUUCAAUAGCGAGGCUCGAAGCUUGAAGAACAUGUCUUACAGAAGCCACAGCUCCAUCGCCUCAAAUCUACCUUCAUGGCUCCAACAAUAUAAAGAAGAGAACUUAAACAGCAAUGAUCAGGUACACUUAUCAUCUGAGUCUCAUGUUAGUAGCAAUUACAGCAACCAAUAUUAAUAUAUUUCUAGUAAUUAAUAAUUUUUUUUGGCUUCUCUCUCUUGUAGGGUUGUCUCCAGGUGAAAGAUCUAUGCAAGAAGUGGAACUCCAUAUGCGGCUCAUCUUGUAGGAAUCGGCAUCAUCCAUCGGAGAUUACCCUAAAUUUCUCCUCACUAUCCCCGUCUUCUUCGAUAUCCUCCCAUGAUCAUAAGCCAUGGCCACUUCCUCUCGAGGCCAAACACCCGUGGAGCGAAGGCUACCCCCGGCUUUCGGAGAACAACGACGAAGGCCUCGGACCCGAUUCAAGAAGUAACUCCCAAGAGAUAAUUAUGGGACAACAGUGUAAUACAAACCCUAACCCUAACUCAGCUUCUUCAAGUGGCACAGUGCAUGGGGAGUGUCUUCCUAAGUUCAAAGAGCUUAAUGCUGAGAAUCUAAAGAUCCUCUGCGACGCGUUGGAGAAGAGGAUCUCAUGGCAAAAGGGUAUAAUCCCCGUGAUAGUGAGCGCAGUUCUCCGGUGCAGGUCAGGGAUGAAGAGGAGGAAAGGUGAGUCGAAGUCGAUGAGCGGCACCAAGGAGGAGACUUGGUUGUUCUUUCAAGGAGUUGAUACUAGUGGGAAAGAGAUUGUAGCUAGGGAGCUAGCAAAACUUGUUUUUGGUUCUUAUGACAGUUUUAUCUUGGUUGAGCUUAACACUUCCUCAUCGACACGGUCGGAUUCUAGUGAUGAUCGUGCAAACAAGAGAUCGAGAUUGGAGGCGAAAGAAAGCUAUCUCGAUCGACUCUUUGAAGCUAUUCGAGAAAAUCCGCACCGUGUAAUAUUGAUGGAGGACAUCGAGCAAGUUGAUUAUUAUUCUUUACUUGGUAUUAAGAAAGCAAUUGAGAGUGGAGUGAUUCGGAGUUACAAUGGCGACGAAGUUAGGGUUGGUGAUGCUAUCAUUAUCUUGAGCUGUGAGAGUUUCGACUCGAGAUCGAGGGCUUGCUCUCCUUCAGUUAAGCAGAAGGUGGAGAUGAGUGAGGGCGAGAAGGAAGAAUCAGAAGAGAUAAGCUCAUCCAUGUGUUUGGAUUUGAACAUUCGUAUCGAAGAAGAUGUGGAGUGUUUGUUCGAUAACGUCGGUCUCAUUGAAGCAGCGGAUCAAGUGGUCUUCUUCAGAUUGCCAGAGGAGUUGUGAUCUGAAGAUAUUUUCAUAUUUUUUUUCUUUCUUUCUGAAUAUUUCCUUCUCUUUUAAUCUUUUCUUCUUUUUUUCUUGUUUGGUGAGGUAUAAUUUAAAAAGAAAGAGGUUUUGGUUGCUUAAGUUAGAAUUAGGAAGUUGAAAUACUUGUAGCUUGUCCUGUGGUAUUGGUUUAUGGUUUUCUUUUUCCCUUUUUAUUUUUUCUAUAUGAAUCUCUAUAUAUUAUCAUAUCUUAGUUGCCAAUAUAUAUAUGUGACUGUUAAUAUAAUGCCAUUGACUGUGGCUAAUCAUAAAUUAAAUAUAACCUUAAUUCACCAUCCAAAUCUAUUCUCAUUAGGAACUCUUCAUCCACACUAAUACUAGAUUAUACACAUAAUUUUUUAAAAAUGGACUGCACAUAAAUGAAAAAAUCACUUUAAUCCUUUUCCUUUAAUUAGUUGGAAUUGGUUCUUAUUAAUUAUUGGUAGUUAUUUAUCACAUAAAGCAUAUGCUCAUUAAACCCUUCAUCUCUAAUCUGAUCAGACAACAGGAUCAUUAAUUUAAUUAAACACCACAUAAAUUAAACUAGUAUUGUAUUCCUCAGUAGGUUAUAAUGCAUGCACUAUCAGACACAAUAAAGCCUUGCUUGAUUAGGGAAUAAACAAGGUUUCCAAAAUCACAAUCACUAAUUAAUAACACAAUCACGAAUAGGCAACCCAACUUAGAUAUAUGGGACUAAAGUACCAACAUAAUGAUGGCAUGAGGCAUAUGUUACUAUUUCCCAAAUUAAAAGAAAAAAAUAGAAGGUGCAUAAUGAAGGAUUAAAGAAAGAUUCAUAACUUAGGGUUUGUGCAAAGGAGGGGUCACUUUAGGAGGCAAAAGCACAAUCUUCCUUAAGAAAUAUCAAAAGGGCACUACUUUUAAUGCAUUGCAAUACGAUUUAUUAAAAGAAUCCCUUUCCCUUGCUUUAGAUAUGCUAAACCUUACAUUCUCAUCUUUGGAAAGUGGUGGGUGUGUGUGAAAAAGCUCAACACAAAAUAAAGACACAGCAUCUGUGUUCUUUAUGCUAUAAAGUUGUUAGUGCCUUAGAAUCCAAAAAAGAUAAUCUUCUCUAAUCUCUUAACCUUUUUUUUUUUUUUUGAGAAAAAGGUAGCACGCUAUCUGCUUCAUUCAAUUAGACGAUGAACUAAGCUACAUGGGUGAGGCAGCAGGGCCUCGAGAAGGGCGAAAAAGCGAAAAGCAGGAAAAAAAAAACACCUAUCUAUAUAUAUAUAUAAAUAUAUUAACUCUUUUGAAGAGUUACCCAGUAUCAUUAUGUCUAUCUACUGGAAGGAGAUGCUCCCAAAAGCUCUUCAGCUGAUUAAUCUCUUAACCUUAUUAAAACUAAAUAUCUCCACUGUAAAUAGAGAAUUCGACGUUUGCGAAUUGAAAACAUUAUAUGUGAAUUAAAGCAUUAGGGUUUUGGUGAAUAUAUAUAUCUCAUAUGUAUGGAGUAGGAGGAAAUUUACUCUCCUCUUACAUGGUUAUAGAUUCUUCUCAAAAUCAGCAUUCUAUGUUCUGUCUCUUUUGAUUUACUGCAUGCUUUUGAUUUUUAUUUUGAAAGCCUCUUUAUCUUACCUCAGUUAAUAUACAUACAUAUACAUAUAUAAAUCGAUAUAUUAAUGCGCAUGCAUACAUGAUUUAAUAAAAAUCAUUAGAAAAACAAAAGACAAACACUAAAAUUUACUUAAAAAGUUUAAAGUGUUUUAGAGUUGUGAUUUAAUAUUUUAAUCUCAAAGUAUACAUGCAAGGAAACAAGCUAUUUUUAUCCCAAUAUAUUAACUUUCUCUACAUAUUAAUACCUUUUAAUUUGCUCACAUUUUUUAAGGAUAUUAAUGUGAAAAGUUGAGAGUAUGAAGACAUAUGUACUACUCUUGUAUCCCCAGGAUUACUAAAAUAUACGCUACUUGUUCCGGACAUAUAUAUAAUCCAACCAAAACAAAGCCUAUUUUCAUAUAUAUAUAUAUAUAUAUAUAUAGGGAUUCGGACAAUUAAUUUCCUAAAUUAUCUUUGUUACGCAUAUGAUCACACCUUUCUUUAAUUAUUCGGAUAAAAUCACUUCACAUCACCUCCUAGAUCACAACAAGUAAAUAUCAUGGACGUGAUCUUCCGUAGCUCAAAGUCCAAGAUAUACGCACGCUAUGCAUGUGCAUCGAACUUUAAUUGGAUACAUGAAAACAUACACUAUGGUAAAAUUUGGGGAAAAUUUUUAGCUUUAGGUGUCGAAUUAUAUUUAUUCAUGAAAAGCUAUUAAACAUGGUAUUAGUUAAAAACAAUCAUUCACAUAUGUUAUUGAUAUAAGGAUUUUAGCUAUCUAAUUAAAUAGUUUUUCAUUUGCAUGAUGGCAGAAAUUUCCAUAUAUNUAUAUAUAUAUAUAUAUAUAUAUAUAUAUAUAUAUAUAUAUAUAUAUAUAUAUAUAUAUAAACUAUCUAAUUACACUAUUCAGUAGCUGUCGCGUUUGCAUUUGCAUCGUACAUACACAUCGCGCUACUCUUCCUUUGUCGCUGAUAGUAUAUAUGAGUUAAUGGUAGAAGAGUGUAAUACUUCAUUGCAAAAUAUAUAAAUAAAGUAAAAGAAGAACAAUUUAGAUUGAUCGAACCAGUUUCAAAUUAGUUUUGUAAGUGCACAUUCUAAUUAAGCAGCUAAUAAACUAAUUAACUGUAUUUUCUACAAUUAAUUAGUGGCCUUCAUAUAUGUUGACAAGAAAUACAAAACCUCGAGCUGUGAACUAGGGUAUAAGAUGAGACAUGAUCCUACAAGUUGUGGCCUUUAAGAAGGGACCAUGCAUUAACCAUAUAUUUAUUGCUUGUUAAAAGCAAAUGAUAAAGUGGAAAAGGAGAAACAUAUUGGAUGUACAUAUACGAGCCUUGCAUAUAUACUUUUUAGUUUUUACACCAACCCACCUCCCAUAACUUUGCUGUAGCCAAUCAACAUUAUUUUUGAAACAUUCUCCCUCCCUAAAUCUUCUUUUCUCAAAGUAAAUGAUGCACCAGUCAGAGAUGAGAUGUCUUUUUUUUUUUUUUUUCAAUGCUAAAUGACAAGAAUAACCCUUAUAUAUAUAAAUUAAAUGAUCAGGUAUUUAUUUGUUAUUUUAUUUUUAAAGUAUAAGGACGGAAAGAGAGGGUAACACACAAAGAACCGAUUCUUCGAGAAAGACUAAAACAUUUUUAAUUAAUUUUCUUACUACAAAUAUAUGUAAUCCUAAUAUUUAUUCUUUAUUGAAACCUUCGCGCUUCCUACAUUUUUAGAAAUAAACUUAGCUAGAAAUGUAAAGUAAUAAAAUUUCAAAGUUGGAACCUCUGGUACCAACUAUUAAACCCUUAACCGUCAAUGGGUCCUUAUAUAUUUUCUAUCACUUAAAUAUAUGUUUCUGUACUUGCCUUUCUCCCUUUAUAAAGUGUUGCAACCCUUUUUAGAACCUCAAGGCGCACUUUUGGCAAAGAAUGUUCAUCCUUCGCAUUAAUUAAUCUUCAAAUUAAGGACGCACAAUGAACUCAACUGAUUAUAUAUUUUGUUAUCUUUUCUUUUCUGUUCUUUUUUAUGUAGAUGCAUGUACCAAGGCCAUUUUGAAAUGAGAAAUUCUAAGUCUACAAUCAAAAAUGGUUGUGUGAAAAUUUUAGCCUUUGGAUGGACAUAUUAUAAGAUCACAACAAAUAUGGUUGCAGAAGCAUUACUCUUCAAAACUUUUAGGCCAAUUUAGGCCAACAUCCCUUAAAAAAUAUAUUGAUGAUUAUAAUUUGAAUUAUUCCACCAGUAAGAAAUUAGAUUUUUGGCCUCCAUAUAUAGUUUCAUUUGGCUUUUAUAUUACAACAUAUUCUUAAGCACAUGUAUAUAGACAUAUAAAUUGCUAUAUCCUUCCAAAUGGAACUGCCUAACUACAAUAAGCUGCUUCUUAAUUUCCUACUCACUCAUGUACGAAGACACGAGGACUUCUAAUGCAUCAAACUUUAGUUUAUAGUUUUACUACCGACCGUAUCUAGCUCAGUUGACUAAGGGUUUGAUAGUUGAUACCUGAAGGUCGAAAGGUCGAAACCUCGUUACUUCACAUUCCUAAUUGAGUUUAUUUCUAAAGUAAAUAAUGAAGCAAAGCUUACUAGAACAGUCAUUUGUUCAUUCCUGUGCAUAAAUGUGGCAUGCUAUCUCUCACUUUGCCAGCAACUGUAGAACAAGACAAGUUGCUAAACAUCUUGCUCUUUCAUAUACCCUCAAAUCCCACAAGUAAAUAAAGAGAACCUCCAUUGGCCAAAGCAAAAGAGACUUGGGAAUGAGACAAAGUUUCCACAGCACCGAUCCUUUUACCCAGUACUUUAAAGCUUGUAUGAGCCUUUUUGGCUUACUAAGGGUGUCCUUUAAUUCCUUUGUUUUGUGUAUGAGAGAGAGAGAGAGAGAGAGAGAGAGAGAGAGAGUGCCCUGCAUGCAUGAAAGUGAGGUAACUCUUGGAUCUGGAAGCCUCAGCUACUACAAUCCAACACUGAUAGCUAGUAUGUAUAGCUAUCUAUAUCAAAUAGGUGUAUAUAUAUUCUCACUAGUAUAGACCAUCUUUAAGUACAAGUUUGAACUAUUUUUCUUAUAUAAAUUAAGACUCUCUUAAUUAAUUUUGAGACUUUUUUAUUUGAGGUAUUACACUUGCUCAAGUCCAAAACAAAUUUGUUAGUUAUAUUAGCUAUUUAGUCAUUAAGUGAUUUUUUUUUCUCCUAAUUAAAAUAGAGAAAGAUAGUAAGUUAUACGUUUCGUUCAUUUUUCUAGAAAUAAAUUUAGUUAGAAACAGCUAUAUUUCGAACUUAGAAUCUCGACUACCAACUAUUACGUCCUCAUCCGACUGCGCUAAAUAAUUCAAUUUUAUUUACUAAAAACUAAUUAAAACUUUUAUAUUCUGAAAUUUAAAAGUUAAAAAGGCAUCAAUAAUUUUUUUUUUUUUUUUUUGAUGAGCCAUGUAAAGGUGGCCUCUAGUUGAGGGGCCCUACAUAUAUAUUUUUUUAUAGCUAUCAAUCAUGAUCUAGUUAAUGCCUUGUGGGCAUUUUGUAAUUUUUGAGUGAUGGCUACUACAUAUAUAGGGUGGGGGAUCCAAGAAGAGGGGGGGAUUCUCUGUUAUGUAUAUGAUGCUAAUUCAGUUCAAGGGAGAAGGCCUAGAGGCUCCAAUCCAUGUGCUACUAUAUCUGUCCCUUCUCUUUUGCCCUUUUCUUUAACUUGCUUUUCUUUUGUUUCUUUUUAUAAAUAUUUUUUCUCUUUUUCUUUAAAGGAAAAACUCCUUUGAUCCAAGUUCCAUCUGAUGUUGACCGGUCAAAAGAGGUGGCUAAAUGACAUAUAGGAAAAAGAAACAAAUAUUGUAGGGUAACAAGUUCCAUUUGAGGUGGUUUGGGGGAAUGACACAUAUAAGAGGCAUUUUCAUGGGGAGGGGGACCAUUUUGUUCUAUUUUGUUAAAUGUAGAGAUGAUUAGGGUAACAAAAAAUACGUGGACCGCACCGUUCAUUAUUGUUUUAAGAUUUGUGAUUAUUGUAUAUGAUGGAUAGUUGAUUAGAUUAUUUUUUAUUUUUCGUUAAGAGACUUCAUAUAGAUAAUGAUCAGAAUGGCGUGCACUAUAUAUGCCUCACGUAGCUUUAACAACAAAAAUAACUAUAAUAAUAUAGACAACAUUCAGAAAGUGUCACACUAAUUUUAGAGCGUAUUUAGAAGCUUCAAACUGAAAUUUUAACUCUCGGAAUUUAUUUAUUUUUGCCUUUUGUCUUAAUUAUUAGAAAUUUCAAAUUUUUUGUUUGCUAAAUGCGUUAUUGCUAUAGCUGAAAGUAAAAGCAGAAGUAGAAUCAAUCAAUCAAAUCAACACUGAAAGCACCAAUCCAGGAGGAGACAUGCUAGUACCUUAAUUAUUGCAUCCUUGAAUUGGGGUAGUUGGGGUAUUAAUUUAAAUAAGAGGAUUGUAUCAUUGUAGUGUCUGGUAAUGAAAGCAUACCUUAAUCACUUAAUUUAAUUAAGGUGAAGAGAAGAAUCUUUAUAUUUACAAUAAUUGAAGCAAUAAACUAAUCCAAUUUAAAAGUAGUGCCCUAAUUAAACCUAAUUAAACAGAAUGUACUGCUGGCUCUGAGUAAGCAGUAAUCAUUUGGUGACAAAAGCUCAAAAAUUAUAUGAUAAUAAAAUAUAUAUAUAUAGGGACAUGUUUUCUUUUUUCUUUUUUCUUUUUUCUUUUUUUUUUGUUGUGUGUAACAUAAAACAAAUGCAAAAGCAAGUGAGAACUAAUUAAGAGAUAUCAUAUAUAGAAGUAUAUUUAAUCUAGUGAAAGAUCAUAUUAUCUUACAUUGCAUUAAAUAAGCUUAUUUAAUUACAACUGUAUGUUUUCCACUAUCCAACUUUUCUCAACAAUAUUUGAUAUAUAAAAUCAUGCAUAUUGGCCAAAUGAUAUAUACACUCUUUUUCAUAUAUAUAUACUAUUUUAUUCCAAUAUUAUUUUUUCCCCCUUUUUCUCCAUUUAAAGUUGACAAUUCCAACUACAACAAUGUUUUCAAUAAGAAACUAUUACAAGUGAUAGAACAAUUAACAACUAAGCUCCAAUUGAACAGUAAGCUAGCCAAUACCAAUUAAUGAGUACAACAUAUACUCUAAUACCAAAUUAAGAAUCGAAUAUCUAUAAUAAGAAAUCGAAAUUAUGAACCGAUCGACGAAUCACGAAUGGUCAAUAGUCAACGCUGCACUUGGUCGGCGCGAACGCAGCGGCGGAGCUCACGGCGGUCGGCGGCGGCGGCAGGAGCUUCACCACGCAGUCGACCUUCGGCUUGAAGCCGUGGACCUUGGCGAACCAAACUUUAUACCUAUUGAACAUAACAUAAAAUGCCAUAAUAUGUAAUACCGUUUUUUAACAGCUUAAACUUUUAUAGUACUAUAAGCAAAGCACCUCAGCUUCGCGUGGACCGUGAUUUCCACGCGGAACGCCCCCUCCCCCUUCUCCCUACCAAACGCGUCGCUAACUCCCGCGCCCACGCCCGCCGUGCGGCCUUUGAAAACCGCGCUCACCGCGGUGGUGGUCUUCGGAUGCUGGUAGAAUUCCGGGAAGGGCGAGUCGGCGGGGCCGAGGAGGGCGCCGGAGUAGAAGGCGGCGGCGUCGAGGCGGUCGUAGUAGACGCCGAUUCGGCUGUUGGGGUUACGGAGGGAGAGAUCGGCGGUGAGAUUGAAGAGGAGGGCGCCGGAGGGGGAGAGGGCGAAUUCGGUGAGGGAGGCGGAAUCGACGCUGGCGCCGAUGCGACGCGGGCGGAAUAUGAGCCAGAAAUCGAAAACAAGGAAGCCGGCGAAGAAAAGGAGGCCGCAGAAUUUGCUGCAGCAUCUCGUGCAGCCGUCGGCGCCGGAUGGGUUAGACAUACUGCCCGGGUGCCAGAGAUGGGUGUUUUUUUACAAUUGUACUAAAAUUCUCAUCAACAAUAAGUUGUAAUAAGUAUAUUUCAUAUGUUUUUUUUUUUUUUUUUUCCCUCUCUCGGGGCCUGGCUGCCCCACCCUUGUAGCCUAAUUCAUCAUUCUGUUGAAUGAAGCGGGUAGCGUGCUACCUUUUUCUCAAAAAAAAAAAAGAAAGUAUAUUUCAUAUGCCGUACUACUAAACUUCUCUAUAACAGAUACCGUAGAAUAAUCUCUCUCUCUCUCAAAAAAAAAAAAAAAAAAAAAAAGAGAUACCGUGGAGUAAAAUGCUAAGGCAUUAAAUGUGUCCUGUGAUAUUUGAAAAUUUUGGGAGCUAAUUUUUUACAACAACUCGUAAAAUAAUCUUCUCUAUGUGCACAGUUGACUAAAUAGAGUUUUUUUUAAAUAGAUCACAUUUAUUAUAUUAUUUUUUGUUUUUAGUAUGUUGAUCAUUUAAUAUAAGGUGCGGUGCAUAUGGUGUACUUUGUACACUUCGUGCAGGGAAUAAUUGCGCGUUAAAGUAAUUAGUAGGAUUUAAUUCAUUAGGCCCAUUUAAUGUGGAGGCCCAUUUAUGUUGAAUCCACGUCUCCGGUUAGAGAUUACAACUGGGCUAUUCUGGGCCCAUUAGACCCAAACCUACACAUUGGACCAAGCUCAAUCAAAUAAUAAAUUUUCAAUUAAUUUUCAUAUAUAGGCUUAUUAAACGUUAUAAAAUACAUUUAAUAAAUUAAAUUUGAUUUUGUGGCCACUACAAUACGAUUUUAAAAAUGUGGUGCAUGGUGCACCAGGUGCAUGCAAGCUCCAUUUCUAUCGGGCCGUAUGCGAUUUAUUGGGCCGGGCCUACUCCAAUGUUUAAAAUAUAAUGCAAAGAGAAUUAUUUUUAUUUCGUUUACACCUCUAAGAUUUAAAUUGUUUUUAUUUAAAUCAUCUUCUUAAAUUGAACUGAGAUUUUGUAAGAAUUAAUAAAACCCAUUGUUUCGUUGUCCAAUAAGGUGUUCAUAACAAUUAAUUUUGGAAGAACAUUUUCUCUUUUCCUUAGAUUAUUUUGAUUUAAGGAAUCUGCAUUUAAUUCUCAGAGGAAAAGCUAAUUAAAGCAAAGAUUGAGUUUAAAAAAGUAAAGGCUCUGAGACCCACAUUAGUAAGUGCAUAUAUUUUAACACUGCAAUAAUAUUACUGUACUCAUCUCAAACACAGGACAUAUAUCUCAAUCUCCUACUUUACCAUUUCUCAAUCCACUUUUCUAAUUAAGCACACAGUGAAAGCAGAUAAAAAUAAAAAGAUAAAAAAAAGGAGCAAUUAUAAAGUAUUUAAUCUAGGGGUUUUUUUGCAAAUAGCCCCCUGACAAUUUUUUUUUUUAAAAUUGGCCCUGUGUAAAAAUUAUUUGCAAAAAUGGCCCUGGCCCCGCCCCGUCAGCACCACGUCAGCGCCACGCGGGCGGGGCUGGGCCAAGUGUUUAUAUUGAACACGGUGAACCAUUCACCGUGUUCAAUACAAAAUUUUUGUAUUGGACACGGUGAAUGGUUCACCGUGUCCAAUACAAAAUGACUAAGUGAGAUAUAUUUGUAUUGGACACGGUGAAUCAUUCACCGUGUCCAAUACAAAUAAUUGGACACGGUGAAUAGUUCACCGUGUCCAAUACAAACACCCACAACUUAACCAUUUUUGGCUAAGUCGAAUGUAUUUGUAUUGGACACGGUGAACCAUUCACCGUGUCCAAUACAAAAAUCUUGUAUUGAACACGGUGAAUGAUUCACCGUGUUCAACUUAUACAAUUGGCCCAGCCCCGCCCGCGUGGCGCUGACGUGGCGCUGACGGGGCGGGACCAGGGCCAUUUUUGCAAAUAAUUUUUACACAGGGCUAUUUUCGAAAAUAAAAUUUUUUAUGGGGCUAUUUGCAAAAAAAGCCCUUUAAUCUAUUCUUAAAGCUUCUUAUUGGAUUUUCUAUGCUCCUCCCUUUGUUUUACUAUACUAUAAUUAUUUAGUUAAUUUUUUUAAAAUUAUUUUCUCUUUCAAAUUUAUUAUUAUUUUUUUUCCCUCUUUUAAUAAGUCCACUCUUGAGGGAGAAGUAACUCAGGUGGUUGAAUGGGCACUGUUUCCUUUGCCACCACUGCAUAUUGCUGCUUCUUUUGUUGCUUUUCUCCUUUAUUAACAUCUGAAAAAAAAAAUAAAUAUAAAAGGAUUUUUAGAUACUUAAAAACUACAAUUGCAUUUUAUGGAUAAAGAUUAAAAAUAUACAUAUAAACAGAACUGAUUUCGAUACUAACAAAUAAAUUUGUUGCAUUUGUUUAUCUCAUUAUAAAAUUUUAAAAUGUAAAAAAUAUAUUUAUAGUUCAGGAACUAAAAUAUUUAUUUUUUUAAUAGUACAGAAACCGAUUCGCAAAUAUUGGGAUGUGUAGGGGCUACCCAUGCAUUACCUCAAAGAUAAUAAAUUAUGUACACACAUCUCUCAAAAAAAUAAUAAAUUAUGUACACACAAAAAAGACAAAAAAUAAACAAAAGGAUGGAGGCAAAAAUAAGAAGUUAAUUAAGGGGUAAUUUUUAAAAUGGGAAGCUCAUUAAAAGCAAUUAAAUAAAUAAAGUCUCGGAAAAAAAAAAAAAAAACAAAAGAGCGGCAAAAUUUAACUCACGCGGUUUUUUGUUGACUCCGGGGUUGACCGCGACGCGCGGGAGGAACACCCCGGUCCCACCACACUCCUUCCCUGAACCGGUCGACCGAACCGGGUUGAACUGGACCGCAGUGAACCGGACCGGACCUGGCCCUUGCUGUAUUUUCGAAACCUUCUUAUUAUUAUUAUUAUUGUCAUGCGUAAAUCCCAACGCCUGCAAAUUUUAAUUUUAUAUUUUUAGCAAAAAAAAGUUUAAAAAAAGGUUAAAUUUAUGGAUCUAAUUUAUUUAGAAUAUAAUUAGUUAAUUUUAUUUUAUUUUACACAUGAAGAAAAAAAAAGCAGCUUACUUUAGACUGAGCCAGUUUUGACGAACCAACCGGUCCGAACCGGGGCACGCCCGGUCUAAACCCCUGAAACCGAGACCAAAAAAAAAAAAAAAACCAGAAAAUAAUUAAAGCAAAAUAGGGGAAAAAAAAAUUAGCCAAAAGAAGCAAAAAAGCUUCGAAAGAGAGAGGAGAGAAUGAGACCUCAAAGAGAAGCGAGGGACGAUGAGGAUGGGGAAUGGUGGCGACGAGGUGAUUGGUCCGGUCCACAAGACCGGAGGGGUCGGAUCGGUGCGCCGGGUCCACCACGUAGGCAUGGUGGGGCCGUGGGCCCCAUCCCCCGCCGCAGCGCAAGUUGUGUGGGAACUCCGCCAUCGUCCCCAACGAAGAGUGAGUGAGAGAGAGAGAGAGAGCGUAUGUAUAUAUAUAGAUGCGACGAGUAGGGGUAUUUUCGUCUUUUUACGCUUUUGGCUUUGGCUUUAUAUAGAAGCUAUUCGAGUACGGACGUGUAGUGAGAAGGGAGAAUAUAAGCGCACUUGAAAUUUUGACUCGAUUUUGUACUCGCUUCGAUUCUCCGUUAUGUUUGGGGUGCGAAGUCAAGUUUUGGGGUUUAGUUGAUUCGUCCAUUUUUGGGUGGCGAAAGGUCACGAAGAGAAAGUGUAAAGGAUCCCGAUGAUUGGUUGGUAACAGGAAACGCGUACAGCUGUGUUGUUCUGUUUACACGUGGCGCGGGGAGCGGAGCGCCGCCUCCUAUUGGCUGCUGCGUGGGGGCCAUUUUGAAGUGGGUCCCACAAGUCAAACAAUGGCCGUGCGUGUCCCUUGAAAUGCAAACGGUUUGGUCAAAUUGGCGAGAACCUCCGUGGUUCGCGUGCAGUGGUAACGUACGGGAUGGCCGUACUGCCACGUGGCAGAGUGGAGCCCACGCACAUAUUUUAUGUAUUAUGCGUAUAUAUAAUAAUAUUAAUCUCUACCGUAUAUAUUAUAUACGUUAUUGAAUAUUGAAUAUAUAAUAUUAGAAAAUCUUUCUAGAAAACCUUUUAAAGAAUAAAUAUUAUUUUACAUUACUCAAAUAUGAUAUUUAUAUACUAUAUAUUAUUUGAUAUGCAUUAAACACAUUAACGGUCUAAAAAAACAGCAUUUUACAUCCAAAAUGUUCAAAUUACAAGGAGCCAGGGAGAGGUAUUGUGCACUUCAAUGGCUUAAUAAUUGUUUAACAGUAGCUAUACUAAUGGUAUUAAUUCUUUGAGAAGGAACAAAUCUGAAUGCAUCGAAUCUGAUCAAUUUUAAUAGUAACAAUCCCAUUAAUAGCAUCACCCAUGUUCAAUGGGUUGAGAAAAAGAAGAGAUUUAGGACCUAGUUGAUAUCUAGCCUACUUUAUGAGACAAAAAAACAAAACAGUUAAAAUAAAAUGGGAAAACUUCAAAAACCCCCCUGUGGUUUCAUGCAUUCUCACUUUCAUAUCCUGUGGUUUAAAAUGUAUCAAUUUGUCCCCCUGUGGUUUCAUUUUUCUCUUUUUGUUAUCAAUUUUAUUAUUUUUUUUUUCUUAAAUCAGUGACAAAAUUAAAAUUAAAGGAUACUAAAGUGAAUAUUCGAUAAACAUAGAUGGUUAUCUGAAAUUUUUUGUAUAUAAUUUAACGAAAUAUUAACGAAAAAACUUCUGAAAAGAUAAAAACGAAACCACAGGAGGGCAAAUUGAUACGUUUUAAACCACAGGGUACUAAAGUGAGAAUGCAUGAAACCACAGGGAGGGUUUUUGAAGUUUUCCCAAAUAAAAUUAUAUAAAAGCAUAAAAAAUGUGCUAGUCUUAAGAGGACUGAUGCAUUAAAAAUGUGCAGAGUUGUUGUGUAGUGUUGGAAGCGUGAUUUGCUAUGAUACCACUUGUUGGAACUGGUAUUUGUACUGAUACCGAUUAUAUAAUUCAAUUAAUUUAGGGUAAUUAGCAUUCCAUUGCCAUUACGCGUCUAAGCCACAAAAGCAUUUAACUCGAGCGUGUCCCUAUUUUCGGAAAUUUUAGAAAUGAUCAGGUCCUUCUCAUCACCAGCUCAUCCCAAUGCAACCCAAAAAGAGAAAAAAUAAAAACAGCAAAGUAUUGUUUUUUUUUUUUUUUUUUUUUUUUUUUUUUUUUUUUUUUUCAAUUGAACCAUGCGUUCUAGAUACAGGUGUGAAUCCAAAAUUUCUCUACACAACAGUACAACUUUAACAAGCACUUUAUAAAGUAUGUUAAUGUGAAACACCUCAAUUGGAAAAAGUUGCCUAAUUUGUGUCAACUUUUGGUUAGAAAAAGGACCAGUAACUUACUUUGAUCAGCUUUGUGGGGCCGAGAAUUAUCCAGCAAUUUAACUGGACUUGAUAAAUUUACAUGAUUCAAAGUCUCAAACCUAAUCCACCUAAGACAUUUAUAGGUGGGAAAAGUUAUUAUAUCUUAAGGUUAACACUCAAACGGGAUCAGCAAAAUCACAAGCCAAGGGAAAGACACAGACACUACAAAUUAGGUAAAUAGAUCAAAGCAAGAGUAUCACAAUUCAUGAAAAUAGUUUCCAAGUGAACCUUCUCGACCUCUCCUCUCGUAUCCAUUAGCAUGUGACAAUUUUCUUUUGGCUAAAUUGCACUUUUUGUCAUCAAAUUUUGAGGCUCCUCAAACUUUAAUUUGUUGCAAUUCUGACUUGAACUUUUAAAUUGUUGCAAGUGACAUAGUCUAGUUUAAUUGAUUGAAUAAUGACAUGUCAGAGCUAAUUUGAUAGCUAUGCAAUAGUAUUGUACGAUACCGUGACAAUUAUUAAUAUGCCACAUCACUAUUAUAUCAGCAAAACAUCAGUAUCAAGUCAACUAAAUUGGGCUUAAUUGGACUUCAGGAUUUAAUUGCAACAAUUUCGAAAGUUGUGAACCCGAAAGUGCAACAAGUUGUAGUGUGAGGGCUAAAGAUGUCACGGUCCUCAAAGUUGAGGAACAAAAGUGCAAUUUACCCUUUUCUUCUCUUUCUUUUCUAUCUCGCACUUCUUAUGUCCUGCCAAGUUACUUUAGUUACUCACAUAUUUGUCCUCUCUAUUAUUCUUUCAUUCUCUAAAUAUUCCUCCUUUUUUUUCCCUAUAUGUAUCAUAUAACUGGUCAAAACAAAUUCAAAUCCAAGUGGUAAACAUAUUCAUGCAACUAGAUCACAAGCACCCAAAAGAGAAAAAAAGAUCAACAGAGUUAUGGCUAUCUACUUGCAGUUUUUAUGGAAAACUAUAAACCAACAAUAGUAGUUGGCCCAAUGCUUCCUCUCCCUGUAAAAUCAAAUCUACAGGUAAAGCACACACUAAACAAGCUAAAAAGCAUCUGUCAAUCAAUGUAUAAACUAUUAAGGAGAGAGAAGACACUAACUAUGGAUCCAACAAGUUUUAAGAGUCUCAGAAAAAAAAACCAUUAGCAGCUAGUGGGUGAUCGUGUUAGCUGAAGAGGGCGUAAUCAAACCUGAAAGAAUGAGCCAGCUUUUCGGAAAGUUAAUCGGACUAGAGAGCGGUGAGGGGAUGAACCGUGGUUACAAGCGUCGAAUGCCCUGACUGGGUGGGGACUGAGUCCCGCUUAGAUUGAGCUUUCCCAUAUCCAGCAUCUUCCAGUUAACCGCUGAAGGGUCCGUCUCGAAAGGAAUGUUUGCCUCAAAGCAAGAGGCGGUGCUUCUGCUUCUUCGGUGGCGGCUGGAAAUCAGCUUCAGCUUCUCAGCUUCGUUCUUCAGCGACUGCAUCUGACCUGUGGAUUUUAUCACCAGAAAAAAAAAAAAGAUCAGGAAAAAGAUUUCAUAAGUUCUGUUGAGAGUUAAGAACACCAGAGCAAAAACAGCAAAACAUUAUUACAAACUUGGUUCUUGUAAAAUAAAAAAAAUUACAGAGCUUUUACUACAGCAAGCAGUAGCCUGGGUCCUAGAAACAGAAACUUCAAUUCGAAGCUUAUGUUUCUACAGCAAAGUGAAGCUGCAAUGAAAAUUCUAAUGGCAAAGCAAUUACUACUUAUUUGAACAACUCAAAUAACACUUGAGCAAAAGCUCCAGCCAAUCUAAACAGGCCCUUGCCUCCAAUCAGGGAGACUAAAUGCCACCGAUAUUGCAUCUUGAUAAGAUUUAAAUAUUUCUUAGUUAUUUAGAACACAUGGUUGCAACAGUUAACCUCAUUUUAUCAGUAGACAAUAAAGGCUUUUAUGGCUAUUAAUUAGAUAUCAAUGUUAGUUAAGAGUUCCCGAAUUGUAAUACUUAAAUCAAGGAGGCUGGGCAAUCUUACUACAACAAAUAUUAUCAAUACCAAAGAUUACAAAACUAGGUAAAUAAGUUGCAAAGAGACUCAUACUUACCAUCCUUAAAUACUUUCUCCUGACGAAGGCUGGCAAUCUGCCUCCUCAAUUGGUUAUUUUCAAGAGAAAGCGCCGCUCGCAGCUGAAAGAGAGAAGCAACUCUCGCUGCCAACUCAGCUCCCAAAGUCUAAAAAGGAUACAAGCUCUAAUCAAGAAUUUAAAAGAUUUAAAGAUUUCAGCAAAAAGUAAGGACUAUGUGCUUACCUGAAGUGAGUCAACAGCUCUCUCGAGUUCAGCUAUAUAUUGAAGUUUGCGAACCCGAGAUCUUUGCCCAGAUCGCCUGCAGAAACAUUGAAAAUAUGUGAAACUGGAAAUCAUAUAAUGAUUUUGCAAGGGAACAUUACAUAGCAUAAGUCUUAAGGUAGUGAUCAAAUCUCAAACAUAGUGCUUUCUGGAACUUGCAAAUGGUGCAAUACUUUGGGUGAAAAGCCAAAUUUGGCACCAUCAUACCAAAGAAAACUAUGAGAAAUUAUACAUCCUGAUUUCAAAUAUAUCUAUAGGGUUUCAAUUCAUUUGUCAGUGAAGUUUCAUCUGCGUAAAGAUUUCAUCUGUGUCCAUCUACUGCUUAAGAAAAAUGCAUAGUCAACAUCACUUGCUGCCAGGGCCAACCACAUAAAACACGAUUCUGACAUAACAUCUCUUCUAAGACAGUGUACUAACAAAAGGAGUAUUUGUGCAGGUCAAACUUCAAGGACUAAACUGUGAGAUUUAAAGCUGUGAGAGCAUAAUUCAGAUCAGGAAUUAGACUUCAAGGACCAAAUUUGUGGUAAACCCAUACCACUGAAACUUCUCUUUGCGGCUAGACUUAUAAACCAAGAAGUCAUAGGAAAACUUAAUCAAACCAAGAGUCACCUUGCCACACACCAAGGCUUGCCCGCAAAAGUCGUUAACCAGUUGGUCGGGAACAUGCUACACCGUUUGUUAAUAUAGGCUACUACGCCAAAUUUCUGAUAGGCUGAAUGAUUCUGAAUCAAUAAUCCCUCACUUAGUAAUAAGAUUUGUACAACAAUCCUCUACCAAUCAACAGUCAAAAUAACUGCGAAAUGAUUUGAACAGAAUAACUAAAAAAAUAUGAUAUUUUCCGAUCGGUCAUAACUUCAGAUGGCACGAUUUGCAAGAGAUAAAAUGUAGAAAGCCAACAACAAUUUUGUUCAAAGGAUCUUUUAUUUCACCUCUCUCCCCAUUAUUUGCAAAUCUAAAACUAUGAGAUAAGCAAUCACAGCUCUGUCCUCUCUUUAAAACUCCUGCAUUGUGGCUCAUUCACUCACCAGCAAAAAACAAUCUAGUAUCUGUUUUCCUAUUAGUCCCAACAUUUGCAAAAUUGUUAGUUCAUCAAUCAUGAUACUCUAUGUAUGCUCAAUAAUAUGAUUAAUCAGUUCUGAGAUCAAUCCUAUUUACUGUACAUUCUGUACUAAUUAUUUUUCUCAAUUCCUAAUUCCAAACAAACGUAAGUAGGUUUACAACUGAGCAAGAGCUAAUCUCACCUUGGAGCUUCAAAAAGAACUCCUCAUUUCUCUGACACAUCAGCAUCAAGUAUCUGGUAAAAACUGUAUUAGAUUUUUCGUACUAAUUUGACUAACUUACCUAUAACUUGGCAUAUUUACCACUAUCCCGACUCUAUUUCUCAGCCAUGCACUGCCUAAGUAACUAAUUUGUCCAUAUCUUCCGCAAGUCAAAUAUAUUAAACAAUCAGGGCAGCAUUUGUAGAAAGCUGCAAGAACAAAUGUUAUUUACUAUUGAGUGAGAUACAUUCAAUAUUUUAAGCAUAUUAGAUUUUCUUUCGAGUGAUUCAUAACAUAUCUAAGUAGAUUCACCAUUGACAAUAUAGUCAUAUUAGCCAGAGAUGACAAUUGCCUAACAGGCGUGGAAAUAAUUUAGAAAGAUAACAAACAUACAGAUGACCAGCAAUGAAUUACCUUCUUGAUGCCUUCUCUGGAUCAGGAUCAGCAGCAACACUAUUUGCAUCUACUUUAACACUAGACUCGCUAAUGUUUGAACAAGGUGCCAAAUCAGCAGUUAAGUACUGCAGAGGAUUACGAGGAACAUUUUCCAGCACAGCAUUCACCAUCGAGCUCUCCGAAGUGGUUAACCGACUCUUCUGCCUAGGCGAAUUAGGGCCAUAAACACAGCUAGCCUCAAUCCGACACCCAAUCUCACCUUCCACCUUAAUUUCGGACAAUUGUUCUGAAUCCUCAUUCGAUAUCGAAUCAUCUUCAUGAAUUGGGAAGAUUGGGCUUUGAAAACUAGUCAAAACAUUUAACAUAACAGCCGAAUCGCUCGAAGCUCUCCGAAGAGAGCUUCCGGACGGAAUUCUCUCCGGUUCAGUCAAGAGGUCGUCGAACCAAGAUGGUUGUUCAGUGAAUGAUGCUUGGGAGGGUGACCUAUGCUGUUGCGUGAACAAUGUACCGUCUCUAUUCGUAGUUCCAGAUGGGGAGUCCGGAGUUCGGGGAAGGGAACUCCGGUUCAGAAGUGGGAAACGAGGGGGGAGGUUUGCAGGGCGACUCAUAGUGACAAAAAUUAUAGGAAUAGCUUCUCCUCAGCUUCUGUAAACAUAUCCUUUCUACAUCUUCCUCUUGUUCCUGUACCAGAAACCCCAAAACUGUGAAGAUAACAACAAUGCAAAUAAUCCGAAGUGCUAGUAUUCAUUCCAACAAACAGUAAUCACUGAAACAAGUUCCAAAACACUGUAAAACAUAAAAAUGCACACAUCAACAAAGAACUCUGAAGCUAUAUUGCAAGGCAUUACUUGAGAUGAUCUUAAACCCCACAAACCUAAAGCCCAAUCAGGGAAAAACCCUAGAACUCCCCAUUUUAUUGCUCUAACACAUCAAAAUCCAAGCCGAAAUCAACGGCAUUACACUAAUCUCUCCACCACUACCCUGGAGACAUUAAUGGCGAUCAAAGCAAGCUUCAAUCACAACGAUCGCAUUGCUCCCGAGAUCAAGAAGAGCACAUUGCGCUCCAAAAAAUUAAAACCCUAGAAACCGGAUAUCUAAAACAUCACCAAUCGAACAGUAACAUCAAUCCAACUCCAAAACAACGAGGAAAAAAAGCAGCGACACAACCCUAACCACGUAUUCGCACCAAAAACACUUCAAAACCUCCAACAAAAGCCCUUAAAAAAAAUCAAAUUCCCACCGAAAAAUGCGAGAAAAAAUAAAAAUUAAUGCAUUGCGGCGAAGAAUAAGAACUCGACGGGAUCGGAUUACAACGAAAGCGAUGCGUAAGAGCGCGUAGAUGGGAAAUUAUUUGGGAAUAAUGUGAAUGCAAUGGUUUUAUUUUGCGAAAUUUUUUGGGCGGAGUUACUAGUACCUGGUUGUGUUCUAUAAUGAGAGAGAGAAAGAGAGAGAGAGAGAGAGAGAGAGAGAGAGGGAGGGGAGGGAGGAGAGAGAAAGGGUGUUGGGAGUAUUUAAAAGGAGGGUGACAAUGUAUGAAGAACCCCUUCACCUAUAAUAAAUUUUGAGAGCCCUCAAUUUCUCUUUUUUUUUUUAUUUAAGUUUUCAUACUUAGUUUUAUUAAAUUUAAUACUUUGAUUGAAUAUUAAUCAUAUUAAUUUGUCUAUUUUCAUUUGUUACAAAAUAAUUAAGAUUAUUAAAUUUUAAGCAAUCACUAAUAAAUUUGAUAAAUCUCUCAAAUUUUCUUGACUAAAACUAUGUAAUUUUUUUAAAAAAAUUUUGGAAGUUAAGUAGUCCAAAUCAGAAAAAUAGUUAGGGUACUAUUUCAAAAUGUAUAUAGUGAGGGAGUCUAUGUAAAAAAUCUUAUACCAUCAAUUAGUCUUACUUUUAUUAAAAAAUAAUUAAAAUUAUUAAAUUUGAUAAAAUUACUGAUAAAUUCCAAUUAAUUAUUUUUUUUUUAAAAAUAAAAGUUGAAACGUCUCAAUCAAAAAAGUAAAGUUCAGGGAUCAUUUACAAAUUUCCUAUAGGUGAGGGGUCUGCAUACAUUUUUACCUAAAAGGAGGUAAGCGUGGGGAUGGGUCUCCGUACAAGAAAAGCCAACUGGCGUAUACAUAUACGUACACUUGAUAUAUAUACUUGGUUAUAGUGGCCGUAUAAUACGGAUUAUUAUACCUACGUAUAAAAAUACACCACUACACCAUUUAUCCCCACCGUUUUAAAAUUUUUAUUAUCGAUUGAUAAAUAAAUAAAUAAGACCUUGUGUUAUGUUAAUCAUGAAACCAAUUAAGUGAGGUUUAAGAAUUGGUUCAAUUUGGGCCUAAGCCCAAUCCCUAAUCUUUCAAAUAAUGGGGGCCCGACUUCGUCGAGAACGGCUCGGCCUCGGGCUAGGCUUUUAUUUCUUUUGGCCCGAUGACACAAAUCGGAGUUGUUGGGCCGGAGAUAGAUUUUCGGUUGAACUAGAGUUCGGAUGAAAAUUAUUUUUCUUUCGCUGUUUGUUUUUAUAAUUAUGAGACAAAAUUUUUUGGAUAAACUUCAAAUACCACCCCCGUGGUUUCACACUUUCUCACUUUAGUACCCUGUGGUUUAAAAUGUAUUAAUUUAGUGUCCCGUAGUUUCAUUUUUCUCUUUUCAUCAUCUUUUAAUAUUUCGUUAAAUUAAAUACAAAAAACUUCAGAUUCCUCAUCUAGGUUUAUCGAAUAUUCAUUUUAGUAUUCUUUAGUUUUAACUUUGUCACUGAUUUAAGGAGAAAAGAUUAAUGAAAUUGAUAAUAAAAAGAGAAAAAUAAAACCACAUGACACUAAAUUGAUACACUUUAAACUAUAAGGUACGAAAGUGAGAAAGUGCGAAACCACAAGGAUGAUAUUUAAAGUUUUUCCAAAAUUUUUCUAGUUAUGUUAUUUGUUAGGCAACAAGUGAGCAACCGAAAAGCAGAAGGUGUAAGAUAAAGUUAAUAUUUUAUUCAUUUUUUUUUCCCAUAAUUAACUUCAAUUUGGGAUGGACCAAAGCCGAUUACGCUAUUUUGAACAUUUUGAGUUUCGACUGAAGGUGUAGUUAUAAUGAGCCAAGCAGUGAAAGUGAAUAUUUACGGUCGAAAAUCACUUCACACUUUUUCACUUUUGGUGAAAUAAACACAUUCCUAAUACCUCGUUGAAAGAUACUAAUUGAUAAAAAAAUCCUUUUACAUUAUAUGCAGGUCGCGUAAUUAGUUACUUUACAAGAAUAUAAAACAUUAUAGACACAGUAUUAUUUGCGUUAAGAAAUUAGUAGGUGUCAUAAAAAUUUGCCAAUUAUUAUUUACUGUGUGUUUAGUGAGAACUUUGAAGCUUAUGAUAUGGUUCACAAAAGUGAGUUGUGGCUUGGGAGAAAUUAUUAUCUUUAAGUUGUGGUGUGAGAAAAAUGAAAAUUUGUAUGAUUCAUGCGCGAGAAAAAUUAGCGAAUUUGAAUUGGAGUUUUCUCCUGAUUGAUUGUUCAGAAGAAACAACGCGUGAUUUAGAAGCGCUUUUUCGUCUUCUGCGAUGCUCCCGUAUGCACGAAAUUCAAAGCACCAGAGGGAGGAUCUUUCAGGAACAUGGAGGAAAAUGCCGGUUGCUUCCAGAAUCAUAAGUGGUGGAAAUUGUUAGCCCUGUAACUAGGGAUGCAAACGGGACGGAUCUGGGGACGGGAGAGUUCCCCCACCUCUCGCUCCAUUUUUUAUCUGGGCGGGGCGGAUUCGGGGCGGGUUAUUUUUCAUUUUAUUUUUGGCUCCCACUUACCGCUCCAUUUGGGGCGGAUCGGGACGGGAGCGGGGCAGGAGCGGAUUUUUAACGGAUCGGAGUAGAUUGAAGGAAGAAAAGAGUCUCCCGCUUCCCGCUCCAUUUACUUGGCGGAUCGGGGCGGAUUCGGGGCGGGUUAUAUUUUUCUAUAUUUUUUGUUCCCACUUACCACCCCAUUCNCCACAUAAUCGCACCAAAAACACUUCAAAACCUCCAACAAAAGCCCUUAAAAAAAAUCAAAUUCCCACCGAAAAAUGCGAGAAAAAAUAAAAAUUAAUGCAUUGCGGCGAAGAAUAAGAACUCGACGGGAUCGGAUUACAACGAAAGCGAUGCGUAAGAGCGCGUAGAUGGGAAAUUAUUUGGGAAUAAUGUGAAUGCAAUGGUUUUAUUUUGCGAAAUUUUUUGGGCGGAGUUACUAGUACCUGGUUGUGUUCUAUAAUGAGAGAGAGAAAAAGAGAGAGAGAGAGAGAGAGAGAGAGAGAGGGAGGGGAGGGAGGAGAGAGAAAGGGUGUUGGGAGUAUUUAAAAGGAGGGUGACAAUGUACGAAGAACCCCUUCACCUAUAAUAAAUUUUGAGAGCCCUCAAUUUCUCUUUUUUUUUAUUUAAGUUUUCAUACUUAGUUUUAUUAAAUUUAAUACUUGAUUGAAUAUUAAUCAUAUUAAUUUGUCUAUUUUCAUUUGUUACAAAAUAAAUAAGAUUAUUAAAUUUUCAGCAAUCACUAAUAAAUUUGAUAAAUCUCUCAAAUUUUCUUGACUAAAACUAUGUAAUUUUUUUUAAAAAAAUUUGGAAGUUAAGUAGUCCCAAUCAAAAAAAUAGUUAGGGUACUAUUUCAAAAUGUAUAUAGUGAGGGAGUCUAUGUAAAAAAUCUUAUACCAUCAAUUAGUCUUACUUUUAUUAAAAAAUAAUUAAAAUUAUUAAAUUUGAUAAAAUUACUGAUAAAUUCCAGAAAAUCUCUAAAUUUGCUGGCUAAAAUUAAUUAUUUUUUUUUAAAAAAAUAAAAGUUGAAACGUCUCAAUCAAAAAAGUAAAGUUCAGGGAUCAUUUACAAAUUUCCUAUAGGUGGGGGGUCUGCAUACAUUUUUACCUAAAAGGAGGGAAGGUAAGCGUGGGGAUGGGUCUCCGUACAAGAAAAGCCAACUGGCGUAUACAUAUACAUACACUUGAUAUAUAUACUUGGUUAUACUAGUGGCCGUAUAAUACGGAUGAUUAUACCUACGUAUAAAAAUACACCACUACACCAUUUAUCCCCACCGUUUUAAAAUUUUUAUUAUCGAUUGAUAAAUAAAUAAAUAAAUAAGACCUUGUGUUAUGUUAAUCAUGAAACCAAUUAAGUGAGGUUUAAGAAUUGGUUCAAUUUGGGCCCAAGCCCAAUCCGUAAUCUUUCAAAUAAUGGGGGCCCGACUUCGUCGAGAACGGCUCGGCCUCGGGCUAGGCUUAUUUCUUAUGGCCCGAUGACACAAAUCGGAGUUGUUGGGCCGGAAAUAGAUUUUCGGUUGAACUAGAGUUCGGAUGAAAAUUAUUUUUCUUUCGCUGUUUGUUUUUAUAAUUAUGAGACAAAAUUUUUUGGAUAAACUUCAAAUACCACCCAUGUGGUUUCACACUUUCUCACUUUAGUACCCUGUGAUUUAAAAUGUAUUAAUUUAGUGUCCCGUAGUUUUAUUUUUCUCUUUUCAUCAGCUUUUAAUAUUUUGUUAAAUUAAAUACAAAAACUUCAGAUUCUCCACCUAGGUUUAUCGAAUAUUCAUUUUAGUAUACUUUAGUUUUAAUUUUGUCAUUGAUUUAAGGGAAAAAGAUUAAUGGAAUUGAUAAUAAAAAGAGAAAAAUAAAACCACAGUGCACUAAAUUGAUACACUUUAAACUAUAGGGUACGAAAGUGAGAAAGUGCGAAACCACAGGGAUGAUAUUUAAAGUUUUUCCAAAAUUUUUCUAGUUAUGUUAUUUGUUAGGCAGCAAGUGAGCAACCAAAAAGCAGUAGGUGUAAGAUAAAGUUAAUAUUUUAUUCAUUUUUUUUUUUCAUAAUUAACUAUAAUUUGGGAUGGACCAAAGCCGAUUACGUUAUUUUGAACAUUUUGAGUUUCGACUGAAGGUGUAGUUACAAUGAGCCAAGCAGCAAAAGUGAAUAUUUACGGUCGAAAAUCACUUCACACUUUUUCACUUUUGGUGAAAUAAACACAUUCCUAAUACCUCGUUGAAAGAUACUGAUUGAUGAAAAAUAUCCUUUUACAUUAUAUACAGGUCGCGUAAUUAGUUACUUUACAAGAAUAUAAAACAUUAUAGACACAGUAUUAUUUGCGUUAAGAAAUUAGUAGGUGUCAUAAAAAUUUGCCAAUUAUUAUUUACUGUGUGUUUAGUGAGAACUUUGAAGCUUAUGAUAUGGUUCACAAAAGUGAGUUGUGGCUUGGGAGAAAUUAUUAUCUUUUAAGUUGUGGUGUGAGAAAAAUGAAAAUUUGUAUGAUUCAUGCGCGAGAAAAAUUAGCGAAUUUGAAUUGGAGUUUUCUCCUGAUUGAUUGUUCAGAAGAAACAACGCGUGAUUUAGAAGCGCUUUUUCGUCUUCUGCGAUGCUCCCGAUGCACGAAAUUCAAAGCACCUGAGGGAGGAUCUUUCAAGAACAUGGAGGAAAAUGCCGGUUGCUUCCAGAAUCAUAAGUGGUGGAAAUUGUUAGUCCUGUAACCGGUAAACCCAAUAUAUAUAUAUUCCAAAAAAAAAUCUCUCUUAUAUUUUACUAUUAUAUCAGAACUAGUGAAAAAGUUCGCGCUUUGCAGCGGGUAAAACUAUAGGAGUAAUUAAUAAUAAGAGAACAUCAAAUGAUGACGCUUUUUCCGAGGAUGAUGAUAGUAAAAAUGACGAUGAUCCAUUCAGCCGCUGCCGAGAGGGAAGAUNAAAAAAAAAAAAAAUCCAAAAAAAAAAAAAUCUCUUAUAUUUUACUGUUAUAUCAGAAUAUGUAGAAGAUUCUAAGUUAAAAUUCUGUCGAGUUCUCAAUUUUAUUUAACUCAUGCUCACACUGAGAUAUUUAAUCAAAGUUCACGCCGAGUUUUGAGCACACCUAUCAAAAAUCUUAAGUUCAAACGUAAAAAUGAGUGUUAAUUUCUCCCAUUUAACUUAAAUUUAUAUUUUUUUGCCUAUCGAAAAGUCUUAUGCUCAAAUUAAAUAUUGAAAUAUAAAAAUUAAAAAUAUUAUUUAAAAAAAACUAUUUUGUUUGGAGAGAUAGAAAAAGGAGGUAGAUUAGUUACUAUCACGGAUCAUGCUCAAGUCAUCUGAAUCAUACACUUCGUAAGUAAAGAUGUCCGUGGACCGGGUCGGGUCUGGAUAAUUAAUAUACUGUACUCAUACCCUAAAAAGGAAUGGCUAGAAAAGAAAUAUAUAUACCCUAUCCAUUUAAGGUCGGGUCGGGUCCGGAUCUGGGUACUAAAGUUACUAAUAUAUCCAUCGGAUCUAUUUGAGCGGGUUUGGGUAGUAACUACCCGUAUACUAUCCGUUCAAGACUGGAUAUGGAUUGGGCCUAGAUCAGGUACGAAUAUCCGUAUAAGUAUAUUUUUUUUAUAAACUUUAUUAAAUAGUCUAUGAACAAACUAUAAAGCCCACUAUAAAAAAACUCGCAUUCUAUUAAGUUGUACCUUCCAAUAAAAUUCAUUCAAAAGAAAAAAAGAGUAGAAAACAAAAAAAAGAAAAAAGAAAAAAGUAAUUAGUAAAAGAGACGGCUAGGAUUUCAUUAGGAUGAAAAUAUAUAGUGACUCAUCAUCUAUAAGUCAUAUUAAAAUUGAUCCUUCAACUUUAAAAUUUUUUUUUUUUUUUAUUUACUAUCGGAUAUUUCAUCAGGUUCGGAUUCGGGUCCGGAUUUGAAAACUAUUCUGAACCCUACCCAUUUAAAAGUUGGGUUCGGAUCGGGGCCAAAUCGAGUAUGGAUAUAAAAUAUCCGGACCCAUACCCGAAACUUUAAUGGGCAAUUUUUUUUAUCCGUAUAUUAUUCAUUUUUUAUCGGGUCCGGUUCGGGUCCGGUUGGAGUCCGGGUAGGGUCCGGAUCGGGUAUGGAAUAUCGAAUAAUUUGGACACCUUUAUUUGUAAGUUUUUCACUCCUUUUUAGUCAAAAAUAUUGUCUAGUAUUUGAACCGUGGCAAAGCUUUUUUUUAAUUUAUUCUUUGUAUGCAAAAAAAAAAAAAAAAAAGGUAAAAAUGAUAACAUGCCCUAUAAUAAAUUAUUAUCUUUAUGAUGCUGAAAUAAUCAUUUAUAUAUUCUCCAAAUUAAGUUGCUUAAGUAUUAUUAUGCAAGCAAUUAUUGGAAAAAAGUUAGUACAAACAUUCCUUCAAGCGAAAUAUAAAGUAUUCGUGCACACUAAAGUCCAUUAAUUAAGAUGCUGUAAAAUGCCUAAAUAAACAAGAUACAUAGAGCAGUAAUAUUUCAUUAAUAAUGGUGCGAAGCUGCAAAUAUUGAUGCAUAUAUAUACUUUAAUAAAUAGGAAAAAAAAGCAUCUAUAAUAUUUAUUUUGAAACAAAUAAAACAUAACAUGCCUUCAAUUUAAUUGAUUUAAAAUGAAAGGUAAUGUUAAUUAAUUCCCUUUUGUUAAAGAACAAAUUAGUUUAUUAGAUCUGAUUAAAUUCAGUAAAUAAAUAAUAACCAAAUUUACUAAAUAACACCAAUUUUUAAGACCGGGAAAAUUUCUUUAAGGGAAAACUUCAAAAACCCCCCCUGUGGUUUCGUGCAUUCUCACUUUGCUACCCUGUGGUUUAAAACGUAUCAAUUUGCCCCCCUGUGGUUUCGUUUUUAUUUUUUUGUUAUCAAUUUUAUUAUUAUUUUUUUUUAAAAUCAGUGACAAAGUUAAAAUUAAAGGAUACUAAAGUGACUAUUCGAUAAAUAUAGAUGGUUAUCUGAAGUUUUUUGUAUAUAAUUUAACAAAAUAUUAACGAAAAAGCUUCCGAAAAGAUAAAAAUGAAAUCACAGGGGGGUAAAUUGAUACGUUUUAGACCACAGGGUAGCAAAGUGAGAAUGCACGAAACCACAGGGGAGGUUUUUAAAGUUUU